CCUUCUCUCCUACAAAGGUAAAUGUGUUAUUUCCAUUACAACAUUACAUGGUCACUUGGAGGUGGGUCCGGCUUACGAUCGUAUCCGAAUCUGGCCGUUACCAAUAUGAUCACCUGUGGGCUUCCUGUUCAAACAUAGGUCGUAUUCGAACCAAAGAGAACAUAGCUGUCGAUACCCACUUGAUUGGAAAAUCGUCGAGCUCAUUGGGGAGUUUUUCUUGAUCAUAUUUGAAUCAUAGCUCAACCCCCUUUGGGAACCGACGUGGAUCGUAUUCGAAUCAGCGUCGUUAAACAACUCUCAAGGUCAUUUGGGGGCUUCCUGUUCACACAUAGGUCGUAUUCGAACCAAAGAGAACAUAGCUGUCGGUACCCUCUUGAUCGGCAACGCCAACACCACUGGGGGCUAUAUGAUCGCAUUCGAAUCUUAGCUUAACCCCUUUGGGAUGGUUCUCUGGUCGUAUUCGAAUCAGAAGCCCUUAAGUUUUGAUCUUUUGGUUCGCAACAAGUUGUUUUGAUCAUAUCAACAGUGUGCAAGGGUGUUUCUUGCUCCGCCGGCUUAACUUUGAUUAACAAUGUUGAUAGCACAUAGUAAGCAUUCGAUGCUGGUGAACCGGAGUUGAGUUCUCAACCUCAUUAUUUGGGUUACAUAAACGGGAAGUAUACUUGAAGGCUUGUAAGUAUGCUAUUAUGGUUACAUCGAGGAUAUAAUUGAGGGCCAGUCUUUGGUGACUUUGGUUCAUGUUCUGGGUUAUAUAUAAAGUAUAUGACUCUCAGUGCGGUAAGCCGCCUAGGGACUUGUGACUUGUUUUCUAUGCAGGACGAUUAAAGAUAGUUCUUUAACUUAAGGAAAGUAGAUGGUCAAACAUAACCCGGGGGAAUAUAAAGAAGCAGCUUCAAUGGAGUUAAGCAUUCAACACGUGCACGAUGGCACGACAAAAUUAACUGUUUGUCCUACUCUAUUACAAGACUCCCCGAGUCCAAAGGUGAGGCAUUGUUUUUAAGGUGUAACCAUGAGCCGCCUAAAAAAUCAAGGUGCUUGUUGGGUCGAAGCUUCCAGCUCAUCCCUCUCCGCUCCUCCGGCUGUUCCCAUGACCUGGAAGGUUGAUGAUUUCCAGUCAAUGCCGCUCAAAGCUUCAAAUUGAGCCUCAUCAUCAAUUAACCCGGCCGGGUCAACUUCUGGGGCGAAGGUGUGCUUACGAGUCGGCGGGAUCAGGCUGACUCCUUCAUAGCGUGGAGUUCGGAUCCUCUGAUUCUCCGCAUCAUAACCCGGCUAAUACUUGGUAAGAUUUGUGUCAUUCCCAAUCAUGGUAGCCACCGGGCGCACGCUUUUCACACAGGCGGCAAAGUCUUUUUGGUCGAAGCGGGUCCCGUCUUCCUUCAGGCUGGGGUAUCCAAGAGCGAUGUCGGCCGGGUCUAGCUCCGGGAGAAAAGCCUUGGCCCGGCUCAGAGCAGCUAUAGCUCCGGCUCUUGCAGAGGCCCGUCUUAGCUCUUGGACACGCUGAGGAAGAACGGCAAGCCGCCUGAGUACGUCCGCCAAGUGAGUCGGAACCUCAUUGGACAGAGCCACAACGGCUAAAGCACGCUGUGACCCGGUGUAGAGUUGCUCCACCGUGGUGUACACAGCCUUCAGCUUGGUCAGAACAUUCUGAUUACUGUUGGAGCUUCUGGGGCCUGUAUAACAAAGUCAGGUGAGCUGAUGGCAAUGGUGGGACUUAUAAGACAUAAAGAAUGUAACCUUGUUAAAAGCUUGCAGAAUGACUUACCGAAGAUUGCGGAGACCAUCUGUGACACAUGGCGUUUUAAGCUGGAGAGUUCGCCGGUUCUCUCAGUCAGAGCAGCCUCCGCUUGUUCGGCCCGGCUAAGCAAGGCAUUUUUCUCCUCGGCCCAAGUCUUUCUUUCUGUUUCAAAUUUCUUCUUUAGUUUUUCUUGUGCAGCAACACUGAACUCAAAUUUGGCAUUGGCCUUCCGGGUCUCAGUUUCCUGAGUCUUCAGGCGGUUCUUCAGCUCAGAGAUUUCAGAUUCAAAUUUCUUGCAGACAGCCUGUACAAAUUCCGGGUUACAGUUUGAGUAAUUAUCAUGCAACACUAAAGUCCCAAGCACUUUGCAAGCAAAGACACUUGGCACUUGGGGGCUAAUGUAUGCUGAACGAUUCUAUUUAUAAUUGCCGGUUCAUGAAGGUAAGCCGGAAGUUAAGUCUACAACGUAUUCUAUCAUAAGUAAUAGACUUGGGGGCUAGCAUGGUAAGGAUGACUAUGGAGUAAGCAAGAGAGUUGUACCUCAGACUUUUGCUGUAUCUGCUUUACCAUGUCAAUCUGCAGGUCCCGGCUGUUGUGCACUUGACCAAUGUAACCAGAAACAAUGUCUCCAAUGCUCAAGUUAGCAUAGUCAGUGAUCUCCAGUCUGGCCCUGCGGCGCUCCAGCAGUUCUUCUUUGGCAGAGCAUCUGGCCAGCACAGUGGGUCUUCCCGGCUCAACAUAUUCGGUCCGGGUAAUCACCACAUCCGGGUCAUCGGCCGGUUGAGCUGAGCUGGGAAUCUCCGGGUUAUUAGAACCCGCCAUGGUUUGUUCUUCAGUUGAAGCGGCGGUUUCCGGAGCUGGUGCAGAUGGCGGCUCAGAGGCAGAGGCGUUGGGUUCAGUUAAGUCCGGCUCUUCGACCGGUUUAUUUUUCUUUGCUCUCUUGCUGAGCUUGGCUUGGGCACUGAAAGUCAAAAGGUUAGUACAAAAAAUAUAAAUAAGAUAAGCACAAAAUGAGAUGAUCAUCAUUACCCGGGUGCGGUCUUGAAAGCCGGCAGGUUAGAUUGCAUGGAGUCACCAGAGGAAGGUGAAGUUUCCUGAUAGUUUGAAUCAGAUGAAUUGAGUGGUUGACGAGUGACGCCCGCUAAAGGAUGAAAAGGGUAUAAGUUGGAGAUAACCUCAGUCCGGCGCUUCCUUGAUGCUUCAGGUAAGCCGGAGGAGAGGUCUGCAUCCUUGUUGGUCCGGGUGUGUCUCCGGCUGUCAUGAAUCUGUCGCUUCAAAAGAAAUUGAGGAUCUUGAUAAGCUAAAGGAUGUGAAAAUCUUACUUUCCGGGUUACUCUUCGGACUUUCAGCCUUGGCAAGGGCUCCGGGUCGGAGGAAAGUAUAGUUACCUCUUCAAUCACCGGGUUACUCGCUCCGGUAUCAUCCUGCUGAUAAUCAGUGUCAAUAAGGUGGUUAAAAACAGACGAAAAACAAAAGAAAUGCCUGAAGAAUCAAGGGCUACCUCUGACUCGGAGCUAUCAUCCAACUGAAGCAGCUCUGAGGCGCUAGGCUUACUCCCCUUCUUGCGGGGAGCGGCUCUCCUAGCGGCUUUUUUAGCCUUCCUGGCUUUUUAGCAGCCUCAUGGUCAUACUUGACCUUCCAGAACUUGUCAUUGGCCUAAAAAAAUGCAACAAAGGUUUCCUUGAAGUUAAAACGAAAAUUGUUAAAAUGGAAAGUAAAGUGCUCAGAUCGGUAGCUUACCGCCGGAGCCGGGUUAGCUUGGCAGAAGGGGCUUAGGCCGGUCCUCCCGCAGUCUGCUAAGCUCUCGUUCAAGAGGGACUUGGUCCUGUCGUCAACGACGUCCUCAGGUAGGUCGUUGGGGCUGUGCCGCAGAGGAUCAUCCUUCCGGACCGUGUAAUCACACAUUAAGCCGGGGCGGCGGCUCAAGGGAAUCACCCGCCAAGCAAUCCAGACCCGGACCAGAUCAACGUUGUUAAGGCCAUUUCCCAGAAGAGCCUUAAUCUUGUUGAUGGUGGGGAUCAGUGGUUGACGCUCAGCUUGAGAUAGUUUGUCUGGCAGGGGGUGAUUUGGCUCCAGACGCAGGGCACGAAAGCCAGGCAGAGGGUUCUCAUCAGCCGGAGAAGUAUCUUGGCAGUAGAACCAUGUCUAGUUCCAGUCCUUUGGGUGGCUUGGCGGCUCAGCAUAAGGAAAGAGGCAAUCUCUCCGUCGUUGAAUGGAGAUUCCGCCAAGUUCCAAGCUGGGCCCGUUGGCGCAUUCAUUCUGGCGGUUCAAGUAAAAUAACUCCCUAAAGAGUAGCAGGCUGGGUUCCUCUCCAAGGUAUACCUCACAAAACACUUGAAAGUUACAAAUGUUCGACACGGAAUUGGGUCCAAUGUCUUAAGGUCGCAGAUCGAAAAAGUUCAGAACGUCUCUAAAGAAUUUUGAGCCGGGAGGAGCAAAGCCCCGGCUCAUGUGAUCAGCAAAUAACACAACCUCUCCGUCUCUUGGUUGAGGUCUUUCUUCGGACAGGUCAGGGGCACGAUAGGACAUGACCUCCUUUUUAGGCAGGUAACCCGUCUUCACGAAAUCAUCUAAGGUAUCAUCAGUAACAUUGGAUCUCAUCCAGUUGCACGUAAUGGGUGCCUUGGGAGCCUUGGGCGGCAUUGUGAAAGAUGAAAGCCUAUGACAAAAGGAAAUGUCCGGUUCAAAUAUAAGCCGGAGGAAGAUUACAGUUCAGUAUUCAAGAUGGCGGCUUAUGAAGGGGCCUAAUGAUAUAUGGCUAAUUGUGUCGGGUUAUCUAAGCCGCUGUGGGCAUCAUGAGUAAUUCAAGUUGUUUAAAAAAUCUGAGAUAAAUGAGCCGGAAAUUUCACAGCGCAUGGCCUCUUUUAAGCCAGAGAUAUGAGCCGCCAUAGCUAACAGAUGCAAUUUUUGACUAAGUGUGGCACAAACAAGUUUCACAGAUCGCAGUAAUUAUUUUGGAUCAAACGAUCGUCUAGAAAGGAAAAUUUUCUAGACCUAGAAAGCUGAUACAGAGAAGUUCAUAGGCUCAGAACGAGGUCUUUUUGUGCCAUAGGGGAUCUACUAGCAUAAAAACGAGUGAGAAACUACUACCGCAGGGAGUCUAUACCUUUUUAGAUCAAAGGGAACCUCGGCGGCAGAACUGUGAAGAACUUGAGAUGAACAGCGAAGAACAGGGGAAGAACGACAGAACCCUAAUGCGGAUCUACUGUAGGGAGGUGCAAGGACUUACCGGCGCUGAUGAGAUGCGGAGGUCGCCGUCGUUUCUCUAGACCAGUUCAGGGUGAUGCAGCGGCCAAGGUUGAGGAAGACAAGGGGCGCGGCGGCGGCGGCGGAGCUCGAGCUCUCGGGCGUCAGAGGAGGAAGACGAUGGAAGAGAGGAGUGAAUGAAGGCUUAUGGGCCGGGCCUAUUUAUAAGGGUGACUGAUAAGUGGGCGCGAGAAACGAGGAGGCCAAGACGUGAUUAUCUUGCCACAGAAACGCCUUGAUUUUCGGGAUGGUCAUUAAAGAUAAGAUCCGUUGGGAUAUGACAGAAUAAAAAAUGAAUUUAAUGGAAGAUCACGUCACGGCGGGUUACCAAGAAUCCAGAAGAUGACGUCACGGCGGGUUAUAACUUUCGCACAAGCAGAAGCUGGAAGAUUUCUUUCCAAGGGAUUGAAGAUUGACAUGAACCGGUUCAAAUCAAUCUGGGGCCUAAUGUUGAGGAUAUAACCAUUAGAGUCACCCGCCCAGGAGGGGCCGGGUUACGUCAUAAUGAUCAUCACGUGAAGCCCAAUACCAAGCUUGAGGAUGGCGGAUCAAUAAUGGGCUUAAGACCCGGAGGCGGCUUAAGGCCCGUAGUGAUAACCCGCCGUUAUGGCAAGACUUGUAAUGUAAGGCAAGAGUAGUUAAGAGUCCGAGCCGGAUACUGUUAUAAGCCGGCCGGGACUCUGAAAGCCGCGGGGCGUCAACCUCUCUAUAUAAAGGGACGACCCGGCGGCGGUUCAGGAUGAGAGACAACAGAUCGAGAGCUGGGCAUAGCGAUUAAGCUCCCUGGUCAUCGAAACCCUAAGUAAUACCACCUCAACUGGACGUAGGCUUUUACCUUCACCGUAAGGGGCUGAACCAAUAUAACCCUCGUGUUCCUUGUCCCGUUUAGCCCCUUUAAGCUUCCUAGCGGCGAAGGCUCCACGACUAAGUCCUUGCAUGAGGACAUCUGCCGUGACAAUUCCACGACACCCUCCUUUCCACUAAAGCCCAUUAAGGCCCAUAUACCUCCCGGGGGGUUCCGAUAACCUCCCAGUGCUCCGGUAUUAUCCCGAUCUCACCCGGAACCAUUCCGUUAUCCAAAUAUAGUCGUCCAAUAUAUCGAUAUUUACGUCUCGACCAUUUCGAGACUCCUCAUCAUGUUUGUGGUCACAUCCGGGACUCUGAACUACCUUCGGUACAUCAAAACACAUAAACUCAUAAUAUAACCAUCAUCGAACUUUAAGCGUGCGGACCCUACGGGUUCGAGAACUAUGUAGACAUGACCGAGACACGUCUCCGGUCAAUAACCAAUAGAGGAACCUGGAUGCUCAUAUUGGCUCCUACAUAUUCUACGAAGAUCUUUAUCGGUCAAACCGCAUAACAACAUAUGUUGUUCCCUUUGUCAUCGGUAUGUUACUUGCCCAAGAUUCGAUCGUCGGUAUCUCAAUACCUAGUUCAAUCUCGUUACCGGCAAGUCUCUUUACUCGUUCUGUAAUACAUCAUCUCGCAACAAACUCAUUAGUUACAAUGCUUGCAAGGCUUAUAGUGAUGUGUAUUACCGAGUGGGCCCAGAGAUACCUCUCCGACAAUCGGAGUGACAAAUCCUAAUCUCGAAAUACGCCAACUCAACAAGUACCUUCGGAGACACCUGUAGAGCACCUUUAUAAUCACCCAGUUAUGUUGUGACAUUUGGUAGCACACAAAGUGUUCCUCCGGUAAACGGGAGUUGCACAAUCUCAUAGUCGUAGGAACAUGUAUAAGUCAUGAAGAAAGCAAUAGCAACAUACUAAACGAUCAAGUGCUAAGCUAACAGAAUGGGUCAAGUCAAUCACAUCAUUCUCUAAUGAUGUGAUCCCGUUAAUCAAAUGAGAGCUCAUGUCUAUGGCUAGGAAACAUAACCAUCUCUGAUUCAACGAGCUAGUCAAGUAGAGGCAUACUAGUGACACUCUUUUUGUCUAUGUAUUCACACAUGUAUCAAGUUUCCGGUUAAUACAAUUCUAGCAUGAAUAGUAAACAUUUAUCAUGAAAUAAGGAAAUAAUAACUUUAUUAUUUCCUCUAGGGCAUAUUUCCUUCAGUCUCCCACUUGCACUAGAGUCAAUAAUCUAGUUCACAUCGCCAUGUGAUUUAACACCAAUAGUUCACAUCACCAUGUGAUUAACACCCAUAGUUCACAUCGUCAUGUGACCAACACCCAAAGGGUUUACUAGAGUCAAUAAUCUAGUUCACAUCACUAUGUGAUUAACACCAAAAGAGUACUAAGGUGUGAUCAUGUUUUUGCUUGUGAGAGAAAUUUAGUCAACGGGUCUGCCACAUUCAGAUCCGUAUGUAUUUUGCAAAUUUCUAUGUCAACAAUGCUCUGCACGGAGCUACUCUAGCUAAUUGCUCCCACUUUCAAUAUGUAUCCAGAUUGAGACUUAGAGUUAUCUGGAUCAGUGUCAAAACUUGCAUCGACGUAACCCUUUACGACGAACCUUUUUUUCACCUCCAUAAUCGAGAAACAUAUCCUUAUUCCACUAAGGAUAAUUUUGACCGAUGUCCAGUGAUCUACUCCUAGAUCACUAUUGUACCCUCUUGCCGAACUCAUGGUGAGGUACACAAUAGGUCUGGUACACAGCAUAGCAUACUUUAUAGAACCUAUGACUGAGGCAUAGGGAAUGACUUUCAUUCUCUUUUCUAUUUUCUACCGUGGUCGGGUUUUGAGUCUUUACUCAACUUUAUACCUUGCAAUACAGGCAAGAACUACAUCUUUGACUGUUCCAUUUUGAACUACUUCAAAAUCUUGUCAAGGUAUGUACUCAUUGAAAAAUCUUAUCAAGCGUCUUGAUCUAUCUCUAUAGAUCUUGAUGCUCAAUAUGUAAGUAGCUUCACCGAGAUCUUUCUUUGAAAAAAUUCUUAUUCAAGUAUCCUUUUAUGCUAUCCAGAAAUUCUAUAUCAUUUCUAAUCAACAAUAUGUCAUCCACAUAUAAGAUUAGAAAUGCUACAGAGCUCCCCCUCACUUUCUUGUAAAUACAGGCUUCUCCAAAAGUCUGUAGAAAACCAUAUGCUUUGAUCACACUAUCAAAACGUUUAUUCCAACUCCGAGAGGAUUGCACCAGUCCAUAAAUGGAUCGCUGGAGCUUGCACACUUUGCUAGCAUCUUUAGGAUCGACAAAACCUUCUGGUUGCAUCAUAUACAACUCUUCUUUAAGAAAUCCAUUAAGGAAUGCAGUUUUGUUUAUCCAUUUGCCAGAUUUCACAAAAUGCAGCAAUUGCUAACAUGAUUUGGACAGACUUAAGCAUCGCUACGAGUGAGAAAAACUCAUCUUAGUCAACACCUUGAACUUGUCGAAAACCUUUUGCGACAAUUCGAGCUUUGUAGAUAGUAACACUACUAUCAGCGUCCGUCUUCCUCUUGAAGAUCCAUUUAUUUUCUAUGGGUUACCGAUCAUCGGGCAAGUCAACCAAAGUCCACACUUUAUUUUCUAUGGGUUACCGAUCCCAUCUCAGAUUUCAUGGCCUCAAGCCAUUUUGCGGAAUCUAGGCUCAUCAUCGCUUCCUCAUAGUUCGUAGGUUUGUCAUGGUCAAGUAACAUGACCUCCAGAACAGGAUUACCAUACCACUCUGGUGCAGAUCUCACUCUGGUUUACCUACGAGGUUCGGUAGUAACUUGAUCUGAAGUUACAUGAUCAUCAUCAUUAGCUUCCUCACUAAUUGGUGUAGGAGUCAUAGGAACAGAUUUCUGUGAUGAACUACUUUCCAAUAAGGGAGCAGGUACAGUUACCUCAUCAAGUUCUACUCUCCUCCCACUCACUUCUUUUGAGAGAAACUCCUUCUCUAGAAAGGAUCCAUUCUUAGCAACAAAUGUCUUGCCUUCGGAUCUGUGAUAGAAGGUGUACCCAACUGCCUCCUUUGGGUAUCCUAUGGAGAUACAUUUCUCCGAUUUGGGUUUGAGCUUAUCAGGAUGAAACUUUUUCACAUAAGUAUCGCAACUCCAAACUUUAAGAAACGACAACUUUGGUUUCUUGCCAAACCACAGUUCAUACGGUGUUGUCUCAAUGGAUUUAGAUGGUGCCCUAUUUAACGUGAAUGCAGCUGUCUCUAAUGCAUAACCCCAAAACGAUAGUGGUAAAUCGGUAAGAGACAUCAUAGAUUGCACCAUACCUAAUAAAGUAUAGUUACAAUGGUCGGACACACCAUUAAGCUGUGGUGUUCCAGGUGGCGUGAGUUGCGAAACUACUCUGCAUUGUUUCAAAUGAAGACCAAACUCGUAACUCAAAUAUUCUUCUCCACGACCAGAUCGUAGAAACUUUAUUUUCUUGUUAUGAUGAUUUUCCACUUCACUCUGAAAUGAAGUUCAGAAAAUAACGAUACCCGCCACGAGCAUCAACACUCAUUGGACCGCAUACAUCGGUAUGUAUUAUUUCCAACAAGUCAGUAGCUCGUUCCAUUGUUCCGGAGAACGGAGUUUUAGUCAUUUUGCCCAAAAGGCACGGUUCGCAAGCAUCAAAUGAUUCAUAACCAAGUGAUUCCAAAAGUCCAUCUUUAUGGAGUUUCUUCAUGCGCUUUACACCGAUAUGACCCAAACGGUAGUGCCACAAAUAAGUUGCACUAUCAUUAUCAACUUUGCAUCUUUUGGCAUCAAUAUAAUGAAUAUGUGUAUCACUACGAUCGAGAUCCAACAAACCAUUUUCAUUGGGUGUAUGACCAUAGAAGGUUUUAUUCAUGUAAACAGAACAACAAUUAUUCUCUAACAUAAAUGAAUAACCGUAUUGCAAUAAACAUGAUCAAAUCAUAUUCAUGCUCAAUGCAAACACCAAAUAACACUUAUUUAGGUUUAACACUAAUCCCGAAAGUAUAGGGAGUGUGCGAUGAUGAUCAUAUCAAUCUUGGAACUACUUCCAACACACAUCGUCACCUCACCCUCAACUAGUCUCUGUUUAUUCUGUAACUCUUGUUUCGAGUUACUAAUGUUUAGCAACCAAACAAGUAUCAAAUACCCAAGGGCUACUAUAAACACUAGUAAGGUACACAUCAAUAACCUGUAUAUCAAAUAUACCCUUGUUCACUUUGCCAUCCUUCUUAUCCACCAAAUAUUCAGGGCAUUUCCGCUUCCAGUGACCAUUUCCUUUGCAGUAGAAGCACUCAAUUUCAGGCUUUAGUCUAGCUUUGGGCUUCUUCACGGAAGUGACAACUUGCUUGCCAUUCUACAUGAAGUUCCCUUUCUUUCUCCUUGCCCUUUUCUUGAAACUAGUGGUCUUGUUAAUCAUCAACACUUGAUGCUCUUUCUUGAUUUCUACCUUCAUCGAUUUCAUCAUCAUGAAAAGCUCGGGAAUAGUUUUCGUCAUCCCUUGCAUACUAUAGUUCAUCACGAAGUUCUACUAACUUGGUGAUGGUGACUAGAGAAUUCUGUCAAUCACUAUCUUAUCUGGAAGAUUAACUCCCACUUGAUUCAAGCGAUUGUAGUACCCAGAGAAUCUGACCACAUGCUCACUACUUGAGCUAUUCUCCUCCAUCUUUUAGCUAUAGAACUUGUUGGAGACUUCAUAUCUCUCAACUCGGGUAUUUGCUUGAAAUAUUAAAUUCAACUGCUGGAACAUCUCAUAUGGUCCAUGAUGUUCAAAACUUCUUUGAAGUCCCGAUUCUAAGCUGUUAAGCAUGGUGCACUAAACUAUCAUGUAGUCAUCAUAUUGAGCUAGCCAAACGUUCAUAACGUCUGCAUCUGCUCCUGCAAUAGGUCUGUCACCUAGCGGUGCAUCAAGGACAUAAUUCUUCUGUGUAGCAAUGAGGAUAAUCCUCAGAUCACAGAUCCAAUCCGCAUCAUUGCUACUAACAUCUUUCAACUUAGUUUUCUCUAGGAACAUAUCAAAAAUAAAACAGGGGAGCUAAACGCGAGCUAUUGAUCUACAACAUAGAUAUGCUAAUACUACCAGGACUAAGUUCAUGAUAAAUUAAAGGUCAAUAUAUUACAUAAGAACUCCCACUUAGAUAGACAUCCCUCUAAUCAUCUAAGUGAUCACGUGAUCCAUAUCAACUAAACCAUGUCCGAUCAUCACGUGAGAUGGAGUAGUUUUCAAUGGUGAACAUCACUAUGUUGAUCAUAUCUUCUAUAUGAUUCACGCUCGACCUUUAGGUCUCAGUGUUCCAAGGCCAUAUCUACAUAUGCUAGGCUCGUCAAGUUUAACCUGAGUAUUCCACGUGUGCAAAACUGUCUUGCACCCAUUGUAUUUGAACGUAGAUCUUAUCACACCCGAUCAUCACGUGGUGUCUCUUAUACCUUGAAAUUUAGUGAGAGAUCAUCUUAUAAUGCUACCGUCGAUCUAAGCAAAAUAAGAUGCAUAAAGAUAAACAUCACAUGCAAUCAAUAUAAGUGAUAUGACAUGGCCAUCAUCAUCUUGUACUUGUGAUCUCCAUCUCCGAAGCACCGUCAUGAUCACCAUCGUCACCGGCACGACACCUUGAUCUCCAUCGUAGCAUCGUUGUCGUCUCGCCAACUUAUGCUUCUACGACUAUCGCUACCGCUUAGUGAUAAAGUAAAGCAUUACAGGGCGAUUGCAUUGCAUACAAUAAAGCGACAACCAUAUGGCUCCUGCCAGUUGCUGAAAACUCGGUUACAAAACAUGAUCAUCUCAUACAAUAAAAUUUAGCAUCAUGCCUUGACCAUAUCACAUGACAACAUGCCCUGCAAAAACAAGUUAGAUGUCCUCUACUUUGUUGUUGCAAGUUUUACGUGGCUGCUAUGGGCUGAGCAAGAACCGUUCUUACCUACGCAUCAAAACCACAAUGAUAGUUCGUCAAGUUAGUGUUGUUUUAACCUUCUCAAGGAACGGGCGUAGCCACACUCGGUUCAACUAAAGUUGGAGAAACUGACAGCCGCCAGCCACCUGUGUGCAAAGCACGUCGGUAGAACCAGUCUCACGUAAGCGUACGCGUAAUGUCGGUCCGGGCCGCUACAUCCAACAAUACCGCCGAACCAAAGUAUGACAUGCUGGUAAGCAGUAUGACUUGUAUCGCCCACAACUCACUUGUGUUCUACUUGUGCAUAUAACAUCUAUGCAUAAAACCUGGCUUUGAUACCACUGUUGGGGAACGUAGUAAUUUCAAAAAAAAAUCCUACGCACACACAGGAUCAUGGUGAUGCAUAGCAACGAGAGGGGAGAGUGUGUCCACGUACCCUCGUAGACCGAAAGCGGAAGCAUUAGCACAACGCGGUUGAUGUAGUCGUACGUCUUCACGAUCCGACCGAUCAAGUACCGAACGCACGGCACCUCCGAGUUCUGCACACGUUCAACUCGAUGACGUCCCUCGAACUCCGAUCCAGCCGAGCUUUAAGGGAGAGUUCCGUUAGCACGACGGUGUGGUGACGAUGAUGAUGUUGCUACCGACGCAGGGCUUCGCCUAAGCACUGGUACGAUAUUAUCGAGGUGGACUAUGGUGGAGAGGGGCACCACACACGGCUAAAAGAUCCAAGAGAUCAAUUGUUGUGUCUAUGGGGUGCCCCUCUCCUCCGUAUAUAAAGGGGGAGGAGAGGGCUGGCCAAGGGGAGGAGGCGCGCCCAAGGGGGGAGUCCUACUCCCACCGGGAGUAGGACUCCUCCUUUUCCUAUUUGGAGAGGGAGAGGGAAGGAAGAGGAAGGAGGGAGGAAGGAAAGGGGGGCCGGCCCCCCUCCCAAUUCGGAUUGGGCUUGGGGGGGCGCCCCCUCCCUUGCUCCUUUCCCCUCCUUUCCACUAAAGCCCAUUAAGGCCCAUAUACGUCCCGAGGGGUUCCGAUAACCUCCCGGUGCUCCAGUAUUAUCCCGAUCUCACCCGGAACCAUUCCGUUAUCCAAAUAUAGUCGUCCAAUAUAUCGAUCUUUACGUCUCGACCAUUUCGAGACUCCUCGUCAUGUCCGUGGUCACAUCCGGGACUCCGAACUACCGUCGAUACAUCAAAACACAUAAACUCAUAAUAUAACCGUCAUCGAACUUUAAGCGUGCGGACCCUACGGGUUCGAGAACUAUGUAGACAUGACCGAGACACGUCUCCGGUCAAUAACCAAUAGCGGAACCCGGAUGCUCAUAUUGCCUCCUACAUAUUCUACGAAGAUCUUUAUCGGUCAAACCGCAUAACAACAUACGUUGUUCCCUUUGUCAUCGGUAUGUUACUUGCCCGAGAUUCGAUCGUCGGUAUCUCAAUACCUAGUUCAAUCUCGUUACCGGCAAGUCUCUUUACUCGUUCCGUAAUACAUCAUCUCGCAACAAACUCAUUAUUUACAAUGCUUGCAAGGCUUAUAGUGAUGUGUAUUACCGAGUGGGCCCAGAGAUACCUCUCCGACAAUCGGAGUGACAAAUCCUAAUCUCGAAAUACGCCAACUCAACAAGUACCUUUGGAGACACCUCUAGAGCACCUUUAUAAACACCCAGUUACGUUGUGACGUUUGGUAGCACACAAAGUGUUCCUCCGGUAAACGGGAGGUGUAUAAUCUCAUAGUGGUAGGAACAUGUAUAAGUCAUGAAGAAAGCAAUAGCAACAUACUAAACGAUCAAGUGCUAAGCUAACGGAAUGGGUCAAGUCAAUCACAUCAUUCUCUAAUGAUGUGAUCCCGUUAAUCAAAUGACAACUCAUGUCUAUGGCUAGGAAACAUAACCAUCUUUGAUUCAACGAGCUAGUCAAGUAGAGGCAUACUAGUGACACUCUUUUUGUCUAUGUAUUCACACAUGUAUCAAGUUUCCGGUUAAUACAAUUCUAGCAUGAAUAAUAAACAUUUAUCAUGAAAGAAGGAAAUAAAUAAUAACUUUAUUAUUGCCUCUAGGGCAUAUUUACUUCAUUACCAAGCAUCCCCAAGCUUAAUUCCUGCUCGUCCUCGAGUAGGUAAAUGAUAAAACAGAAUUUUUGAUGUGGAAUGCUUCUUAGCAUAAUUUUCAAUGUAAUUCUUUUUAUUAUGGCAUGAAUAUUUAGAUAUGAAAGAUUCAAGAUAAAAGUUUAAUGUUGACAUAAAAACAAUAAUACUUCAAACAUGCUAACCAAGCAAUUAUGUCUUAUCAAAAUAACAUAGCCAAAGAAAGCUCAUCCCUACAAAAUCAUAUAGUUAGGCCAUGCUUCAAUUUCGUCACACAAAACAUUCUCAUCAUGCAUAACCCCGAUGACAAGCCGAGCAAUUGGUUCAUACUUUUUAACGCGCUUCAGCCUUUUCAACCUUUACGCAAUACAUGAGCGCAAGCCAUGGAUAUAGCACUAUGGGUGGAAUAAAGUAUAAUGAUGGGGGUUAUAUGAGAAGACAAAAAGGUAGAAAGUCUCACACCGACGCGGCUAAUCAAUAGGCUAUGAAGAUGCCCAUCAAUUGAUGUUAAUGAGAGGAGUAGGGAUUGCCAUGCAACGGAUGCACUAGAGCUAUAAAUAUAUGAAAGCUCAACAAAAGAAACUAAGUGGGUGUGCAUCCAACUUGCUUGCUCACGAAGACCUAGGGCAUUUUGAGGAAGCCCAUCAUUGGAAUAUACAAGCCAAGUUAUAUAAUGAAAAAUUCCCACUAGUAUAUGGAAGUGACAACAUAGGAGACUCUCUAUCAUGAAGAUCACGGUGCUACUUUGAAGCACAAGUGUGGAAAAAGGAUAGUAACAUUGUCCCUUCUCUCUUUUUCUCUCUUUUUCUCUCUUUUUUUUCUUUUUUUUUCUUGGGCCUUCUUUUUUUCUUUGGCCUCUUUUUUUUAUUUAGUCCGGAAUCUCAUCCCGACUUGUGGGGGAAUCAUAGUCUCCAUCAUCCUUUCCUCACAUGGGACAAUGCUCUAAUAAUGAUGAUCAUCACACUUUUAUUACUUACAACUCAAGAAUUACAACUCAAUACUUAGAACAAAAUAUGACUCUAUGUGAAUGCCUCCGGCGGUGUACUAGGAUAUGCAAUGAAUCAAGAGUGACAUGUAUAAAAAAAUUAUGAAGGGUGGCUUUUCCACAAAUACGAUGUCAACUACAUGAUCAUGCAAAGCAAUAUGACAAUGAUGGAGCGUGUCAUAUAAAACGGAAUGGUGGUAAUUUGCAUGGAAAUAUAUCUCAGAAUGGCUAUGGAAAUGCCAUGAUAGGUAGGUAUGGUGGUUGUUUUGAGGAAGAUAUAAGGAGGUUUAUCUGUGAUAGAGCGUAUCAUAUCACGGGGUUUGGAUGCACCGGCGAAGUUUGCACCAACUCUCAAGGCGAGAAAGGGCAAUGCACGGUACCGUAGAGGCUAGAAAAUUGUGGAAGGUUGAGAGUGCGUAUAAUCCAUGGACUCACAUUAGUCAUAAAGAACUCAUAUACUUAUUGCUAAAGUUUAUUAGCCCUCGAAGCAAAGUACUACUACGCAUGCCCCUAGAGGGAUAGAUUGGUAGGAAACAACCAUCGCUCGUCCCCGACCGCCACUCAUAAGGAAAGCAAUAAAAGAACACCUUAUGUGUCAAAAUUGUCACACAACUUUUACCAUACGUGCAUGCUACGGGACUUGCCAACCUUAACACAAGUAUUUCUCAAUUUCACAAUUACUCAACUAGCACACUCUAACAUUACCACCUUUACAUCUCAAAACACUUAUCAAGUAUCAAACUUCUCAUGAUAUUCAAUGAGCUCAUUAUGGAAGUUUUUAUUAUGCUCAUCUUGGAUGCCUAUCACAUUCAGAUUAAUUUUACAAUUAAAGAAAAUUACCAUGCUGUUUAAGACUCUCAAAAUAAUAUAAGUGAAGCAUGAGAGAUCAAUAAUUUCUAUAAAAUAAAACCACCACCAUGCUCUAAAAGAUAUAAGUGAAGCACUAGAGCAAAAAUUAUAUAGCUCAAAAGAUAUAAGUGAAGCACAUAGAGUAUUCUAACAAAUUCCGAAUCAUGUGUGUCUCUCUCAAAAGGUGUGUACAGCAAGGAUGAUUGUGGUAAACUAAAAAGCAAAGACUCAAAUCAUACAAGACGCUCCAAGAAAAACACAUAUCAUGUGGUGAAUAAAAAUAUAGCCCCAAGUAAAGUUACCGAUAGACGAAGACGAAAGAGGGGAUGCCUUCCGGGGCAUCCCCAAGCUUAAGAUUUUGGUUGUCCUUGAAUUUUACCUUGGGGUGCCUUGGGCAUCCCCAAGCUUAGGCUCUUGCCAAUCCUUGUUCCAUAAUCCAUCAAAUCUUUACCCAAAACUUGAAAACUUCACAACACAAAACUUAACAGAAAAUCUCGUGAGCUCCGUUAGCGAAAGAAAACAAAACACCACUUCAAGUUACUGUAAUGAACUCAUUAUUUAUUUAUAUUGGUGUUAAACCCACUGUAUUCCAACUUCUCUAUGGUUUAUAAGCUCUUUUACUAGCCAUAGAUUCAUCAAAAUAAGCAAACAACACACGAAAAACAGAAUCUGUCAAAAACAGAACAGUCUGUAGUAAUCUGUAUCUAACGCAAACUUCUGAACUCAGAAAAAUCUACCAAAAUAGGACGACCUAUAUAAUUUGUUUAUUGAUAUACUGCAAUUGGAAUCAGUAUUUUAUCACGUUCUGGUGAUUUGAAACAAUUGGUUUCGUGAACAGAAAGUUUCUGGAAUUUUCAGCAACAUCAAAUAACUAUCAUCCAAGAAGAUCCUAUAGGUUUCACUUGGCACAAACACUAAUUAAAACAUAAAAACACAUCUAACCAGAGGCUAGAUCAAAUAUUUAUUACUAAACAGAACCAAAAGGCAAAAAAAAAUUGGGUUGCCUCCCAACAAGCGCUAUCGUUUAACGCCCCUAGCUAGGUAUAAAAGCAAGGAUAGAUCUAGGUAUUGCCAUCUUUGGUAGGCAGUUCUUCAAUAAGACACCUAUAACCCUUAGGAGUUUCUUUCUUUUUAUUAAUUAUCAAACUCCUAGGCAAAAGGUUCCUUAAGGAUAGCAAGAAAGUUGGGGUGAACACUUAUGGAUUUGAGGUCCGCAUUUCCCUUACUAGAAGUUUCACCCUUAUUUUUAGGAACAUACAUCAAUUUGGCAAUCUUAUCAUUACAAGGAGUGUUUUUCAUGGAAGAAAAGGCAGACCCUAGGUUGGUAAUAAUGUCCUCAAUUUUAUCAAUUCUAGUGGAAUCUUGAUCUAUCUUUUCAUUAACCAUAGGUUCCUUUUCUUUAAAAAAUUUAAAAGCAACUCCUACCUUAGAUCCGUAUUGGGUAACUUGGUUGUGGAUCUUUCUAUCCAAAUUUUCAAUCAACUCUACGGUGGCAACUUUAUUUUCAAUAAUUUCAAGCUGUUGCAUCACAUGUUCCAAAGUUAAAAUAGUUCCAUUAACCAAAAGAGGUGGUGGGCCAAACAAAUAUAUCAUAGCAUUAUAAGAAUCAAAAGUAUGGCUACCCAAGAAAUUUCCUCCGGUAAUGGUAUCAAGAAUAUAUCUAUUCCAAGGAGUGAUGCCUACAUAAAAAUUGCGUAGAAGAACGGAAGUAGGUUGCUUCCUAGUAGAUGUAUUUUGCGCAUUGCAAAUUCUGUACCAAGCAUAAUUUAGAUUUUCUCCCUCCCUUUGUUUAAAAUUAAGAACUUCAUUCUCGGGAGACAAAGGGGUAGAUAAAGGACUAGCCAUAAUGACGAAGCAGGCGAACGGAACAAGAGGGCGAAUAAAACGGCAAGGGUGAAGUGGGGGAGAGGAAAACGAGAGGCAAAUGGCAAAUAAUGUAAUGCGAGGGAUAAGAGCUUGUGAUGCGUACUUGGUAUGUCUUGACUUGUGCGUAGACUCCCCGGCAACGGCGCCAGAAAUCCUUCUUGCUACCUCUUGAGCACUGCGUUGGUUUUCCCUUGAAGAGGAAAGGGUGAUGCAGUAAAGUAGCGUAAGUAUUUCCCUCAGUUUUUGAGAACCAAGGUAUCAAUCCAGUAGGGGACCAUGCUCAAGUCCCACGCACCUACACAAGCAAAUAAGAACCUUGCAACCAACGCGAUAAAGGGGUUGUCAAUCCCUUCACGGCCACUUGCAAAAGUGAGAUCUGAUAGAGAUGAUAAGAUAAUAUUUUUGGUAUUUUUAUGAUAAAGACUAAAAGUAAAGAAAGCAAAAUAAACAGUAAUAGAAAUAACGGUAGAUUAAUAUGAUAGAGAAUAGACCCGGGGGCCAUAGGUUUCACUAGUGGCUUCUCUCAAGAGCAUAAGUGUUACGGUGGGUAAACAAAUUACUGUCGAGCAAUUGAUAGAAUUGAGCAUAGUUAUGAGAAUAUCUAGGUAUGAUAUGUAUAUAGGCAUCCCGUCCGUGACAAGUAGACCGACUCCUGCCUGCAUCUACUACUAUUACUCCACACAUCGACCGCUAUCCAGCAUGCAUCUAGAGUAUUAAGUUCAUAAGAAUGGAGUAACGCUUUAAGCAAGAUGACAUGAUGUAGAGGGAUAAACUCAUGCAAUAUGAUAUAAACCCCAUCUUUUUAUACUCGAUGGCAACAAUACAAUACGUGUCCUUUCCCCUACUGUCACUGGGAUCGAGCACCGCAAGAUUGAACCCAAAGCUAAGCACUUCUCCAAUUGGAAGAAAGAUCAAUCUAGUAGGCCAAACCAAACUGAUAAUUUGAAGAGACUUGCAAAGAUAACCAAUCAUACAUAAAAGAAUUCAGAGGAGAUUCAAAAAAUGUUCAUAGAUAAUCUUGACCAUAAACCCACAAUUCAUCGGAUCUCGACAAACACACCGCAAUAGAAGAUUACAUCGAAUAGAUCUCCAAGAGAAUCGAGGAGAACUUUGUAUUGAGAUCCAAAGAGAGAGAAGAAGCCAUCUAGCUAAUAACUAUGGACCCGAAGGUCUGAGGUAAACUACUCACACAUCAUCGGAGAGGCUAUGGUGUUGAUGUAGAAGCCCUCGAUCAAUGCCCCCUCCAGCGGAUCGCCGGAAAAGGCCCCAAGAUGGGACCUCACGGGUACAGAAGGUUGCGGCGGUGGAAAUAGGGUUUUGGCUCCUCUGCUGAUGUUUUCGGGGUACGUAGGUAUAUAUAGGAGGAAGAAGUAGGUCGGUGGAGCUACAAGGGGCCCACGAGGGUGGAGGGCGCGCCCAGGGGGUAGGCGUGCCCCCUGCCUCGUGGGCUUCUCGUUGAUUCCUUGACGUCCACUCCAAGUCCUCUGGAUCACGUUUGUUCAGAAAAUCAUGUUCCCGAAGGUUUCAUUCCGUUUGGACUCCGUUUGAUAUUCCUUUCCUUCGAAACACUGAAAUAAGCAAAAAAACAGCAAUUUGGGCUGGGCCUCCGGUUAAUACGUUAGUCCCAAAAAUAAUAUAAAAGUGUAUAAUAAAGCCCAUUGAACAUCCAAAACAGAUAAUAUAAUAGCAUGGAACAAUCAAAAAUUAUAGAUACGUUGGAGACGUAUCAGGGCCCUUAGAAGGCCGAAAGUUAACACGGGCUAGAAACGGCUGACGGAAUAAUGGGCUGUUAAUGGGUAUAAAGCGAUACACUGUUCAUUAUGGGCCAGUUUCAUCUCGGGCCUUUAUUGGGCCCAGAGUUACGAAGGGCCUCGUAUGGGCCGAAAGACAUCAUGGGCCAUACAUGGGCCGGAAGUAACAAUGGGAUGGAAUCAUAUUGGACGGCCCAGAUGAAGCUACUGGGCUUAAUUCUGAUAGGCCGUAACGGGUCGGGAGUUAGCGGGUCGUAAAUGGGCGAUAUACGAACAGGCCGUUCACUGGCUUUCCUUGGGCCGGCCCCUUACCUUUUGACCAAGUCAAACAGGCCGGCCUUUUCACCAGAAUGGGCCUCUGUUGGGUCGUGCCAUGUGUCGACGUAUCCUAGGCGCCUCCUGUCCAAUGAGUGGAUGCCAUCUGUCCCAACGGAGAGCCAACACGUGUUUCCUCUGGCCAUUGAGAAUUUUACACGUGGAAAAUCCCCAUUGGUCCGGGCUGUUAACGGGUUAUCGGAUCCAAAACCGGACCCGAUAGCUUAACGGCGACCUGUUAUGGUGGAUGCCACCUGUCGGUCACCCUUGACGAAAACACUUCUAUGACGCACGAUUUAUCAUCAUGGAAGUGGACACUUCCAUGAUGAUAAUUUUGGUAAUAUCAUGGAACACUUCUACGACAGCACUGGUAUGACUAUCUGUUGGAAAUAUGCCCUAGAGAAAAUAAUAAAUAGGUUAUUAUUAUAUUUCCUUGUUCAUGAUAAUCGUUUAUUAUCCAUGCUAGAAUUGUAUUGAUAGGAAACUCAGAUACAUGUGUGGAUACAUAGACAACACCAUGUCCCUAGUAAGCCUCUAGUUGACUAGCUCGUUGAUCAAUAGAUGGUUACGGUUUCAUGACCAUGGACAUUGGAUGUCGUUGAUAACGGGAUCACAUCAUUAGGAGAAUGAUGUGAUGGACAAGACCCAAUCCUAAGCCUAGCACAAGAUCGUGUAGUUCGUUUGCUCAUAGCUUUUCUAAUGUCAAGUAUCAUUUCCUUAGACCAUGAGAUUGUGCAACUCUCGGAUACCGUAGGAAUGCUUUGGGUGUACCAAACGUCACAACGUAACUGGGUGGCUAUAAAGGUGCACUACAGGUAUCUCCGAAAGUGUCUGUUGGGUUGGCACGAAUCAAGACUGGGAUUUGUCACUCCGUGUAAAUGGAGAGGUAUCUCUGGGCCCACUCGGUAGGACAUCAUCAUAAUGUGCACAGUGUGACCAAGGAGUUGAUCACGGGAUGAUGUGAGUUACGGAACGAGUAAAGAGACUUGUCGGUAACGACGAUCGAAUCUCGGGCAAGUAACAUACCGAUAGACAAAGGGAAUUGAAUACGGGAUUGAUUGAAUCCCCGACAUCGUGGUUCAUCCGAUGAGAUCAUCGUGGAACAUGUGGGAGCCGACAUGGGUAUCCAGAUCCCGCUGUUGGUUAUUGGCCGGAGAACAUCUCGGUCAUGUCUGCAUGGUUCCCGAACCUGUAGGAUCUACACACUUAAGGUUCGAUGACGCUAGGGUUAUAGGGAAAGUAUGUACGUGGUUACCGAAUGUUGUUCGGAGUCCCGGAUGAGAUCCCGGACGUCACGAGGAGUUCCGGAAUGGUCCGGAGGUAAAGAUUUAUAUAUGGGAAGUCCUGUUUUGGUCACCGGAAAAGUUUCGGGUGCUAUCGGUAAUGUACCGGGACCACCGGGAGGGUCCCNNNNNNNNNNNNNNNNNNNNNNNNNNNNNNNNNNNNNNNNNNNNNNNNNNNNNNNNNNNNNNNNNNNNNNNNNNNNNNNNNNNNNNNNNNNNNNNNNNNNNNNNNNNNNNNNNNNNNNNNNNNNNNNNNNNNNNNNNNNNNNNNNNNNNNNNNNNNNNNNNNNNNNNNNNNNNNNNNNNNNNNNNNNNNNNNNNNNNNNNNNNNNNNNNNNNNNNNNNNNNNNNNNNNNNNNNNNNNNNNNNNNNNNNNNNNNNNNNNNNNNNNNNNNNNNNNNNNNNNNNNNNNNNNNNNNNNNNNNNNNNNNNNNNUCUAGUGGGGUGCCCCCCUCUCUUCCCCCCUUGGCCGCCCCCCAAGCCCCAUCUAGGGCUGGCCGCACCCCUUGGGGGGGGAACCCUAGAUCGGGGCGCAGCCCCUCCCCCUCCCCUAUAUAUACUUGAGGUUUUGGGGCUGCCAUAUACACGAGAAAGUUUCCCUCAUAGCGCAGCCCUACCCCUCUUCUUCCUCCUCUCCCGCGGUGCUUGGCGAAGCCCUGCAGGAUUGCCACGCUCCUCCAUCACCACCACGCCGUCGUGCUGCUACUGGACGGAGUCUUCCCCAACCUCUCCCUCUCUCCUUGCUGGAUCAAGGCGUGGGAGACGUCACUGGGCUGCACGUGUGUUGAACGCGGAGGCACCGUUCUUCGGUGCUUAGAUCGGAAUCAACCGCGAUCUGAAUCGCCACGAGUACGACUCCUUCAUCCGCGUUCUUGCAACGCUUCCGCAUCGUGAUCUACAAUGGUAUGUAGAUGCACUCCCCUUCCCCUCGUUGCUAGAUUACUCCAUAGAUUGAUCUUGGUGAUGCGUAGAAAAUUUUGAAUUUCUGCUACGUUCCCCAACAGUGGCAUCAUGAGCUAGGUCUAUGCGUAGUUUCUAUGCACGAGUAGAACACAAAGCAGUUGUGGGCGUAGAUGUUGCCAAUUCUUCUUUCCGCUACUAGUCUUAUCUUGUUUCGGCGGCAUUGUGGGAUGAAGCGGCCCGGACCGACCUUACACGUACGCUUACGUGAGACAGGUUCCACCGACUGACAUGCACUAGUUGCAUAAGGUGGCUAGCGGGUGUCUGUCUCUCCCACUUUAGUCAGAACGGAUUCGAUGAAAAGGGUCCUUAUGAAGGGUAAAUAGAAAUUGGCAUAUCACGUUGUGGUUUUACAUAGGUAAGAAACGUUCUUGCUAGAAACCUAUACAAGCCACGUAAAAACUUGCAACAACAAUUAGAGGACGUCUAACUUGUUUUUGCAGCAUGUGCUAUGUGAUGUGAUAUGGCCAGAAGAUGUGAUGAAUGAUAUAUGUGAUGUAUGAGAUUGAUCAUAUUCUUGUAAUAGGAAUCACGACUUGCAUGUCGAUGAGUAUGACAACCGGCAGGAGCCAUAGGAGUUGUCUUUAUUUUUUGUAUGACCUGCGUGUCAUUGAAUAACGCCAUGUAAAUUACUUUACUUUAUUGCUAAGCGCGUUAGCCAUAGAAGUAGAAGUAAUCGUUGGCGUGACAACUUCAUGAAGACACAAUGAUGGAGAUCAUGAUGAUGGAGAUCAUGGUGUCAUGCCGGUGACAAAGAUGAUCUUGGUGCCCCAAAGAUGGAGAUCAAAGGAGCAAAAUGAUAUUGGCCAUAUCAUGUCACUAUUUGAUUGCAUGUGAAAGUUUUUAUUAUACCCAUCUUGGAUGCCUAUCAUAUUAGGACUAAUUUUAUAGCCAAAGCAAAUUACCAUGCUGUUAUAAAGGACUCUGAAAAUAAUAUAAGUGAAGCAUGAGAGAUCAAUAAUUUCUAUAAAAUAAAACCACCACCGUGCUCUAAAAAGAUAUAAGUGAAGCACUAGAGCAAAAUUAUCUAGCUCAAAAGAUAUAAGUGAAGCACAUAGAGUAUUCUAAUAAAUUCCGAAUCAUGUGUGUCUCUCCCAAAAGGUGUUUACAGCAAGGAUGAUUGUGGUAAACUAAAAAGCAAAGACUCAAAUCAUACAAUACGCUCCAAGCAAAACUUAUAUCAUGUGGUGAAUAAAAAUAUAGCUUCGAGUAAAGUUACCGAUAGACGAAGACGAAAGAGGGGAUGCCUUCCGGGGCAUCCCCAAGCUUAGGAUUUUGGUUGUCCUUGAAUUUUACCUUGGGGUGCCUUGGGCAUCCCCAAGCUUAGGCUAGUGCCACUCCUUAUUCCAAAAUCCAUCAAAUCUUUACCCAAAAACUUGAAAACUUCACAACACAAAACUUAACAAAAAAUCUCAUGAGCUCCGUUAGUAUAAGAAAACAAACCACCACUUUAAGGUACUGUAAUGAACUCAUUCUUUAUUUAUAUUGGUGUUAAACCUACUGUAUUCCAACUUCUCUAUGGUUCAUACCCCCCGAUACUACCCAUAGAUUCAUUAAAAUAAGCAAACAACACGCGAAAAACAGAAUCUGUCAAAACAGAACAGUAUGUAGAAAUCUGAUUCAUACGCAUACUUCAGGACUCCAAAAAUUCUGAAAUAAAUUUGUGGACGUGAGGAAUUUGUCUAUUAAUUAUCUGCAAAAAGAAUCAACCUAAAAUCUCUCUCCAGUAAAAAAUGGCAUCUAAUCUCGUGAGCGCAAAAGUUUCUGUUUUUUACAGCAAGAUUGCAAAGACUUCACCCAUGUCUUCCCAAAGGCUCUACUUGGCACAAAAACUAAUUAAAACAUAAAACCACAUCUAAGAAGAGGCUAGAUGAAUUAUUUAUUAUUAAACAGGAACAAAAAGAAAAAAAAAAGAAAAAAAUUGGGUUGCCUCCCAACAAGCACUAUCGUUUAACGCCCCUAGCUAGGCAUAAAGCAAGAAUAGAUCUAGGUAUUACCAUAAUGAUAAGGCAAAUCGCAAAAACUCAUCUCAUACUCACUACGUUCAGCAGCAAGCUUUCUUUGCGGCAGGCAAAAAUAAUCAAAAGGGCUAAAUUUAAUGGGACAAAAGUCCCCAAGAUCAAGUUCGGGAGGUAUUGGUUCCUCCUUUGGCCCCUCAUAUUGCACAACCAAUUCAUCAUUAUAAACAUUCUUUUGGCAAAAAGUCAUGAGCCUUUGUUCAAGAGAAAAUCCUAACACAUAGUUCUGAAUAGCAAAGUUAUCACUGAGUUCAGAAAUCAUAUCAACUAGAAUAUCGGUAGGAACCUUCAUUCUAAGAUUUUCAUUAUAAGCAACACGAUCUAAAGAUCAUAAACGCAUUAUGUCUUCUUGAUUAAAAAGGAUAGCUUCUGUGGGAGGACGGCCAACAUCCACCCUAUAAUGCGCAAAAUUUUCAUUGGACUCUUUCAUUAUAAAUCUGAACUCAUGUGCUAAAAAGAUAGUAGCUGCUCGCUUAACAGAAGAAUGCUCAAUAUUGGAAAAUUCUAGAAACAUCCUUUGUAUGCAAGGAUGCAUAUGAAUAAAUUGUGUUUCAAGUGCAACUAUGAUCAAAGUGUUGGAAAUAUGCCCUAGAGGCAAUAAUAAAAUGGUUAUUAUUAUAUUUCCUUGUUCAUGAUAAUUGUCUAUUGUUCAUGCUAUAAUUGUGUUAUCCAGAAAUCGUAAUACAUGUGUGAAUACAUAGACCACAACAUGUCCCUAGUGAGCCUCUAGUUGACUAGCUCGUUGAUCAACAGAUAGUCAUGGUUUCCUGACUAUGGACAUUGGAUGUCAUUGAUAACGGGAUCACAUCAUUAGGAGAAUGAUGUGAUGGACAAGACCCAAUCCUAAGCAUAGCACAAAAUCGUGUAGUUCGUUUGCUAGAGCUUUUCCAAAUGUCAAGUAUCAUUUCCUUAGACCAUGAGAUUGUGCAACUCCCGGAUACCAUAGGAGUGCUUUGGGUGUGCCAAACGUCACAACGUAACUGGGUGGCUAUAAAGGUGCACUACGGGUAUCUCCGAAAGUGUCUGUUGGGUUGGCACGAAUCAAGACUGGGAUUUGUCACUCCGUGUAAAUGGAGAGGUAUCUCUGGGCCCACUCGGUAGGACAUCAUCAUAAUGUGCACAGUGUGACCAAGGAGUUGAUCAUGGGAUCAUGCAUUACGGUACGAGUAAAGUGACUUGCCGGUAACGAGAUUGAACAAGGUAUUGGGAUACCGACGAUCGAACCUCGGGCAAGUAACGUACCGAUUGACAAAGGGAAUUGUAUACGGGAUUGAUUGAAUCCUCGACAUCGUGGUUCAUCCGAUGAGAUCAUCGUGGAACAUGUGGGAGCCAACAUGGGUAUCCAGAUCCCGCUGUUGGUUAUUGACCGGAGAGUCGUCUCGGUCAUGUCUGCAUGUCUCCCGAACCCGUAGGGUCUACACACUUAAGGUUCGGUGACGCUAGGUUAUAGAGAUACUGGUAUGCGGUAACCCGAAAGUUGUUCGGAGUCCCGGAUGAGAUCCCGGACGUCACGAGGAGUUCCGGAAUGGUCCGGAGGUGAAGAAUUAUAUAUAGGAAGUCCAGUUUCGGCCACCGGGAAAGUUUCGGGGGUCACCGGUAUUGUACCGGGACCACCGGAAGGGUCCCGGGGGUCCACCGGGUGGGGCCACCUAUCCCGGAGGGCCCCAUGGGCUGAAGUGGGGAAGGGAACCAGCCCCUGGUGGGCUGGUGCGCCCCCCUUGGGCCUCCCCUGCGCCUAGGGUUGGAAACCCUAGGGGUGGGGGGCGCCCCACUUGACUUGGGGGGCAAGUCCCCCCCCUUGGCCGCCGCCCCCCUUGAGAUGGGAUCUCUGGGGGCCGGUGCCCCCUUGGACCCCUAUAUGAAGAGGGGGGAGGGAGGGCAGCCGCACCCAAGCCCCUGGUGCCUCCCUCUCCCUCCCGUGACACCUCUCCCUCUCGCUGAGCUUGGCGAAGCCUUGUCGAGAUCCCCGCUACUUCCACCACCACGCCGUCGUGCUGCUGGAUCUCCAUCAGCCUCUCCUUCCCCCUUGCUGGAUCAAGAAGGAGGAGACGUCUUCCCCAACCGUACGUGUGUUGAACGUGGAGGUGCCGUCCGUUCGGCGCUCGGUCAUCGGUGAUUUGGAUCACGACGAGUACGACUCCAUCAACCCCGUUCACUUGAACGCUUCCGCUCGCGAUCUACAAGGGUAUGUAGAUCCACUCCUCUCUCUCGUUACUAGAUGACUCCAUAGAUUGAUCUUGGUGAUGUGUAGAAAAUUUUUAAUUUCUGCAACGAUCCCCAACAGUGGCAUCAUGAGCUAGGUCUAUGCGUAGUUUCUAUGCAUGAGUAGAAGACAAACUUGUUGUGGGCGUAGAUGUUGUCAAUUUUCUUGCCACUACUAGUCUUAUCUUGUUUCGGCGGCAUCGUGGGAUGAAGCGGCCCGGACCGACCUUACACGUACGCUUACAUGAGACAGGUUCCACCGACUGACAUGCACUAGUUGCAUAAGGUGGCUAGCGGGUGUCUAUCUCUCCCACUUUAGUCGGAACGGAUUCAAUGAAAAGGGUCCUUAUGAAGGGUAAAUAGAAAUUGGCAUAUCACGUUGUGGUUUUACGUAGGUAAGAAACGUUCUUGCUAAGAAACCUAUAGCAGCCACGUAAAAACUUGCAACAACAAUUAGAGGACGUCUAACUUGUUUUUGCAGCAUAUGCCUUGUGAUGUGAUAUGGCCAAAAGGAUGUGAUGAAUGAAAUAUAUGUGAUGUAUGAGAUUGAUCAUGUUCUUGUAAUAGGAAUCACGACUUGCAUGUCGAUGAGUAUGACAACCGGCAGGAGCCAUAGGAGUUGUCUUUAUUUUUUGUAUGACCUGCGUGUCAUUGAAUAACGCCAUGUAAAUUACUUUAAUUUAUUGCUAAACACGUUAGCCAUAGAAGUAGAAGUAAUCGUUGGCGUGACAACUUCAUGAAGACACGAUGAUGGAGAUCAUGGUGUCAUGCCGGUGACGAAGAUGAUCAUGGCGCCCCGAAGAUGGAGAUCAAAAGGAGCAAAAUGAUAUUGGCCAUAUCAUGUCACUAUUUGAUUGCAUGUGAUGUUUAUGAUGUUUUACAUCUUAUUUGCUUAGAACGACAGUAGCUUAAAUAAGAUGAUCCCUCGCAAUAAUUUCAAGAAAGUGUUCCCCCUAACAGUGCACCGUUGUGAAGGUUCGUUGUUUCGAAGCACCACGUGAUGAUCGGGUGUGAUAGAUUCUAACGUUCGAAUACAAUGGGUGUUGACGAGCCUAGCAUGUACAGACAUGGCCUCGGAACACAUGCAAAACACUUAGGUUGACUUGACGAGCCUAGCAUGUACAGACAUGGCCUCGGAACACAAGAGACCGAAAGGUCGAGCAUGAGUCGUAUAGAAGAUACGAUCAACAUGGAGAUGUUCACCGAUGAUGACUAGUCCGUCUCACGUGAUGAUCGGACACGGCCUAGUUUGACUCGGAUCAUGUAUCACUUAGAUGACUAGAGGGAUGUCUAUCUGAGUGGGAGUUCAUUAAUCAGAUGAACUUAAUUAUCAUGAACAUAGUCAGAAGGUCUUUGCAAAUUAUGUCAUAGCUUGCGCUUUAGUUCUACUGGUUAAGAUAUGUUCCUAGAGAAAAUUUAGUUGAAAGUUGGUAGUAGCAAUUAUGCGGACUGGGUCCGUAAACUGAGGAUUGUCCUCAUUGCUGCAUAGAAGGCUUAUGUCCUUAAUGCACCGCUCGGUGUGCUGAACCUCAGCGUCGUCUGUAGAUGUUGCAAAACAUCUGACAUACACGUUUUGGUGACUACGUGAUAGUUCAGUGCGUAAUGCCAACGGUUUAGAAUUGUGGCACCAAAGACGUUUUUGAAACAUCGCAGAACAUAUGAGAUGUUCUGAAGACUGAAAUUGGGAUUUCAGACUAGUGCCCACGUCAAGAGGUAUGAGACCUCUGACAAGUUUCUUAAGCCUGCAAACUAAGGGAGAAAAGCUCAAUCGUUGAGCAUGUGCUCAGAUUGUCUGAGUACUAUAAUCACUUGAAUCAAGUGGGAGUUAAUCUUCCAGAUGAGAUAGUGAUGGUUCUCCAUAGUCACUGCCACCAAGCUAUUAGAGCUUCGUGAUGAACUAUAACAUAUCAGGGAUAGAUAUGAUGAUCCUUGAGCAACUCGCGAUGUUUGACACCGCAAAAGUAGAAAUCAAGAAGGAGCAUCAAUUGUUGAUGGUUAGUAAAACCACUAGUUUCUAGAAGGGUAAGGGCAAAAGGGAUACUUCAUGAAACAGCAAAUCAUUUGCUGCUCUAGUGAAGAAUCCCAAGGUUGAGCCCAAACCCGAGACUAAGUGCUUCUGUAAUGAGGGGAACGGUCACUGAAGCAAAACUACCCUAGAUACUUGGUAGAUGAGAAGGCAGGCAAGGUCGAUAGAAUUAUAUUGGAUAUACAUUAUAUGAAUGUGUACUUUACUAGUAGUCCUAGUAGCACCAGGGUAUUAGAUACCGGUUCGGUUGCUAAGUGUUAGUAACUCGAAAUAAAAGCUGCGGAAUAAACGGAGACUAGCUAAAGGUGAGAUGACGAUAUGUGUUGGAAGUGUUUCCAAGGUUGAUGUGAUCAAGCAUCACAUGCUCCCUCUACCAUCGAGAUUUGGUGUUUGCGUUGAGCAUGAUUGGAUUAUGUUUAUCGCAAUACGGUUAUUCAUUUAAGGAGAAUAAUAGUUGCUCUGUUUAUUUGAAUAAUACCUUCAAUGGUCUUGCACCUAAAAUGAAUCUCGAUCGCAGUGAUACACAUGUUCGUGCCAAAAGAUAUAAGAUAGUAAUGAUAGUACCACAUACUUGUGGCACUGCCACUUGAGUCAUAUUGGUAUAGAACGCAUGAAGAAGCUCCAUGUAGAUGGAUCUUUGGACUCACUCGUUUUGAAAAGAUUGAGACAUGCGAACCAUGUCUAUUGGUAUAUAUGCAUGAAGAAACUCCAUACAGAUGGAUCGUUUGGACUCACUUGAUUUUGAAUCACUUGAGACAUGCAAAUCAUACCACAUGGGCAAGAUGACUGAAAGGCCUCGUUUUCAGUAAGAUGAACAAGAGAGCAACUUGUUGGAAGUAAUACAUUUGAUGUGUGCAGUCCAAUGAGUGCUGAGGCAUGCAGUGGAUAUCAUUAUGUUCUUACUUCACAGAUGAGUUGAGUAGAUGCUGAGUGUAUUUACUUGAUGAAACACAAGUCUGAAUUAUUGAAAGGUUCAAGUAAUUUCAGAGUGAAGUUGAAGAUCGUCGUGACAAGAGGAUAAAAUGUCUAUGAUAUGAUCAUAGAGAUAUCUGCGUUACGAGUUUGGCACACAAUUAAGACAUUGUGGAAAGUGUUUCACAAUUAAUACCGCCUGGAACACCACAGUAUGAUGGUGUGUCUGAACAUCAUAACUGCACCCUAUUGGAUAUGGUACAUGCCAUGAUGUCUCUUAUCGAAUUACCACUAUCGUUUAUGGGUUAGGCAUUAGAGAUAACCGCAUUCACUUUAAAAGGGGGCACCACUCAAUUCCGUUGAGACGACACCGUUUAGAGAAACCUAAGUUGUCGUUUCUUAAAAGUUUAGGGCUGCGACGCUUAUGUGAAAAAGUUUCAGGCUGAUAAGCUCGAACCCAAAGCGGAUAAAUGCAUCUUCAUAUAAUACCCAGAACAGUUGGGUAUACCUCCUAUUUCAGAUCUGGAAGCAAAAGUAAUUGCUUCUAGAAACGAGUCCUUUCUCGAGGAAAAGUUUCUCUCGAAAGAGUUGAGUGGGAGGAUGGUGGAGGCUUGAUGAGGUUAUUGAACCAUAACAUCAACUAGUGUGUAGCAGGGCACAGGAAGUUGUUCCUGUGGCACCUACACCAAUUGAAGUGGAAGCUUAUGAUAGUGAUCAUGAAACUUCGGAUCAAGUCACUACCAAACCUCGUAGGACGAUGAGGAUGCGUAUUACUUCAGAGUAAUGCGUAAUCCUAUCUUGGAAGUCAUGUUGUUGGACAGCGAUGAACCUAUGAGCUGUGGAGAAGCGAUGGUGGGCCCAUAUUCCGACAAAUGGUUAGAAGCCAUGAAAUCCGAGAUAAAUGGAUCUUUAAGAAGAAGACGGACGUGGACGGUAAUGUUACCGUCUAUGAAGCUCGACUUGUGGCAAAGAGUAUUUCCACAAGUUCAAGGAGUUGACUACGAUGAGAUUUUCUCAUCCGUAGCAAUGCUUAAGUCCGUCGGAAUCAUGUUAGCAUUAGCUGCAUUUAUGAAAUCUGGCAGAUGGAUGUCAAAACAAGUUUCCUUACCAGUUUUCGUAAGGAAAGGUUGUAUGUGAUACAAUCAGAAAGGUUUGUCGAUCCUAAGGAUGCUAAAAGGUAUGCUAGCUCCAGGAUCCUUCCAUGGACUAGAGCAAGCAUCUCGGAGUCAGAAUAUACGCUUUGAUGGAGUGAUCAAAGUUUUUGGGUUUAUACAAAGUUUGUUAGAAACUUGUAUUUACAAUAAAGUGAGUGGGAGCGCUACAACAUUUCUGAUAAGUAUAUGUGAAUGACACAUUGUUGAUCCGAAAUGAUGUAAAAUUUCUGGAAAGCAUAAAGGGUUGUUUGAAAGGAGUUUUUCAAAGGAAGACCUGGAUAAUAGCUGCUUACAUAUUAGGCAUCAAGAUCUAUAGAGAUCGAAUUUAUCCUUAGUAUGUAGUGGACUAAGGAAUUUUCUCGAUUAUGAAGGUGAAAAGGAGUUCGUCGUAAAGGGUUACGUCGAUGCGAACUUUGACACUAAUCCGGAUGACUCUGAGUAGUAAACCGGAUUCGUAUAGUAGAGCAGUUAUUUGAAAUGGCUCCAAGUAGCGCGUGGUAGCAUCCACAAGAUGACAUAGAUAUUCGUAAAGCACACACGGAUCUGAAAGGUUCAGACCCGUUGACUAAUAACCUCUCUCACAAGCAUAACAUGAUCAAACCAGAACUCAUUGAGUGUUAAUCACAUAGUGAUGUGAACUAGAUUGUUGACUCUAGUAAACUCUUUGGAUGUUGGUCACAUGGUGACGUGACCUAUGAGUGUUAAUCAUAUGGUGAUGUGGACUAGAUUAUUGACUCUAGUGCAAGUGGGAGACUGUUGGAAAUAUGCCCUAGAGGCAAUAAUAAAUAGGUUAUUAUUAUAUUUCCUUGUUCAUGAUAAUCGUUUAUUAUCCAUGCUAGAAUUGUAUUGAUAGGAAACUCAGAUACAUGUGUGGAUACAUAUACAACACCAUGUCCCUAGUAAGCCUCUAGUUGACUAGCUCGUUGAUCAAUAGAUGGUUACGGUUUCCUGACCAUGGACAUUGGAUGUCGUUGAUAAUGGGAUCACAUCAUUAGGAGAAUGAUGUGAUGGACAAGACCCAAUCCUAAGCCUAGCACAAGAUCGUGUAGUUUGUUUGCUCAGAGCUUUUCUAAUGUCAAGUAUCAUUUCCUUAGACCAUGAGAUUGUGCAACUCCCGGAUACCGUAGGAAUGCUUUCGGUGUACCAAACGUCACAACGUAACUGGGUGGCUAUAAAGGUGCGCUACAGGUAUCUCCGAAAGUGUCUGUUGGGUUGGCACGAAUCGAGACUGGGAUUUGUCACUCCGUGUAAAUGGAGAGGUAUCUCUGGGCCCACUCGGUAGGACAUCAUCAUCAUGUGCAUAGUGUGACCAAGGAGUUGAUCACGGGAUGAUGUGAGUUACAGAACGAGUGAAGAGACUUGCCGGUAACGAGAUUGAACAAGGUAUCGGGAUACCGACGAUCGAAUCUCGGGCAAGUAACAUACCGAUAGACAAAGGGAAUUGAAUACGGGAUUGAUUGAAUCCCCGACAUCGUGGUUCAUCUGAUGAGAUCAUCGUGGAACAUGUGGGAGCCAACAUGGGUAUCCAGAUCCCGCUGUUGGUUAUUGGCCGGAGAACGUCUCGGUCAUGUCUGCAUGGUUCCCGAACCCGUAGGGUCUACACACUUAAGGUUCGAUGACGCUAGGGUUAUAGGGAAAGUAUGUACGUGGUUACCGAAUGUUGUUCGGAGUCCCGGAUGAGAUCCCGGACGUCACGAGGAGUUCCGGAAUGGUCCGGAGGUAAAGAUUUAUAUAUGGGAAGUCAUGUUUUGGUCACCGGAAAAGUUUCGGGUGCUAUCGGUAAUGUACCGGGACCACCGGGAGGGUCCCGGGGGUCCACCAGGUGGGGCCACCAGCCCCAGAGGGCUGCGUGGGCCAAGUGUGGGAGGGGACCAGCCCCAGGUGGGCUGGUGCGCCCCCCCCCCCACAAGAGGCCCAGGGCGCAGGAAGGGGGGGAAGGGGGAAACCCUAGGCUUAGAUGGGCCUAAGGCCCAUCUAGUGGGGCGCCCCCCUCUCUUCCCCCCUUGGCCGCCCCCCAAGCCCCAUCUAGGGCUGGCCGCAACCCUUGGGGGGGAACCCUAGAUGGGGGCGCAGCCCCUCCCCCUCCCCUAUAUAUACUUGAGGUUUUGGGGCUGCCAUAUACACGAGAAAGUUUCCCUCAUAGCGCAGCCCUACCCCUCUUCUUCCUCCUCUCCCGCGGUGCUUGGCGAAGCCCUGCAGGAUUGCCACGCUCCUCCAUCACCACCACACCAUCGUGCUGCUACUAGACGGAGUCUUCCCCAACCUCUCCUCUCUCCUUGCUGGAUCAAGGUGUGGGAGACGUCACCGGGCUGCACGUGUGUUGAACGCGGAGGCACCGUUCUUCGGUGCUUAGAUCGGAAUCAACCGCGAUCUGAAUCGCCACGAGUACGACUCCUUCAUCCGCGUUCUUGCAACGCUUCCGCAUCGCGAUCUACAAUGGUAUGUAGAUGCACUCCCCUUCCCCUCGUUGCUAGAUUACUCCAUAGAUUGAUCUUGGUGAUGCGUAGAAAAUUUUGAAUUUCUGCUACGUUCCCCAACACUAUCUUGAUUCUGUCAUAAAAUUGUCAUGGAUGUACAUGCAUGACAGAAAAUGUGACCUACUGUGACAAACACGUAUCAUCACGGAAGUGUAUUUUUUUGUAGUGUUUGUAGAUAGUAACACUACCAUCAGUGUCCGUCUUCCUCUUGAAGAUCUAUUUAUUCUCAAUGACUUGCCGAUCAUCGGGCAAGUCCACCAAAGUCCACACUUUGUUCUCAUACAUGGAUCCUAUCUCAGAUUUCAUGGCCUCAAGCUAUCUGUCAGAAUCUGGGCUCAUCAUAGCUUCUUCAUAGUUCGUAGGUUUGCCAUUGUCUAAUAACAUGACUUCCAGGACAGGAUUACCGUACCACUCUGGUGCGGAACAUGCUCUGUUCGACCUACGAGGUCCAGUAAUAACUUGAUCCAAAGUUUUUUUUAUGAUCAUCAUCAUCUUCUUCCUCUCUAGAUGGUGUAGGCAUCACGGGAACAGAAUUCACUGAUGUGCUACUUUCCAAUUCGAGAGAAGGUACAAUUACCUCAUCAAGUUCUACUUUCCUCCCACUCACUUCUUUCAAGAGAAACUCCUUCUCUAGAAAGGAUCCAUUCUUAGCAACAAAGAUCUUGCCUUCGGAUCUGUGGUAGAAGGUGUACCCUAUUGUUUAUUUCGGGUAUCCUAUGAAGAUGCAUUUCUCCGCUUUGGGUUCGAGCUUAUCAGGCUGAAGCCUUUUGACAUAAGCAUUGCAUCACCAAACUUCAAGAAACGAUAGCUUAGGUUUCUUGCCAAACCAUACGGUGUCGUCUCAAAUGAUUUUGAUGGUGCCCUAAUUAACGUGAAUGCGGUUGUCUCUAAUGCAUAACCCCAAAACGAUAGUGGUAAAUCGGUAAGAGACAUCAUAGAUCGCACCAUAUCUAAUAAAGUACGGUUACGAUGAUCGGACACACCAUUACAGCUGUGGUGUUCCGGGUGGCUUGAGUUGUGAAACUAUUCCACAUUGUUUUAAAUGAAAGCCAAACUCGUAACUCAAAUAUUCGCCUCCGCGAUCAGAUCGUAGAAACUUUAUUUUCUUGUUACGAUGAUUCUCCACUUCAGUCUGAAAUUCUUUGAACUUUUGAAAUGUUUCAGACUUGUGUUUCAUUAAGUAGAUAUACCCAUAUCUGCUCAAAUCAUCUGUGAAGGUCAGAAAAUAACGAUACCCGCCGCGUGCUUCGACACUCAUCGAACCGCAUACAUCGAUAUGUAUUAUAUCCAAUAAAUCAUUAGCUUGCUUCAUUUUUUCGGACAACAGAGUUUUAGUCAUCUUGCCCAUGAUGCAUGGUUCGCAAGUAUCAAAUGAUUCAUAAUCAAGUGAUUCCAAAAGUCCAUCUGCAUGGAGUUUCUUCAUGCGCUUUACACCAAUAUGACUUAAAUGGCAGUGCCACAAAUAUGUUGCACUAUCAUUAUCAACUUUGCAUCUUUUGGCAUCAAUAUUAUGAAUAUGUGUAUCACUAUGAUCGAGAUUCAAUAAACCAUUCACAUUGGUUGUAUGGCCAUAGAAGGUUUUAUUCAUGUAAACUAAACAACAAUUAUUCUCUGACUUAAAUGAAUAACCGUAUUGCAAUAAACAUGAUCCAAUCAUAUUCAUGCUUAACACAAACACCAAAUUUAUUUAGGUUCAACACUAAUCUCGAAGGUAGAGGGAGUGUGCGAUGGUGAUCUUAUCAACCUUGGAAUUACAUCCAACACACAUCGUCACCUCAUCCUUAACUAGUCUGUGUUCAUUCCGCAAUUCCCGUUUCGAGUUACUAAACUUAGCAAUUGAACCGAUAUCAAAUCCCAGGAGUUGCUACGAACACUAGUAAAGUACACAUCAAUAAUCUGUAUAUCAAAUAUAUAUAUUUGUUCACUUUGCCAUCCUUCUUAUCCUCCAAGUGUUUAGGGUAGUUCCGCUUCUAGUGACCAUUCCCUUUGAAGUAGAAGCACUCAGUUUCAGGCUUAGGUUCAUCUUUGGGCUUCUUCACGGGAGUGGCAACUUGCUUGCCAUUCUUCUUGAAGUUCCCUUUCUUUUCCUUUGCCCUUUUAGUUGAAACUAGUGGUCUUGUUAACCAUCAACAUUUGAUUCUCUUUAUUGAUCUCUACCUUCGCCGAUUUCAGCAUCGCGAAGAGCUCGGGAAUCGUUUUCGUCAUCCCUUGCAUAUUAUAGUUCAUCACAAAGUUCUAGUAACUUGGUGAUAGUGACUAGAGAACUCUGACAAUCACUAUCUUAUCUAGAAGAUUAACUCCAACUUGAUUCAAGUGAUUGUAGUUCCCAGACAUUCUGAGUACAUGCUCACUGGCUGAGAUAUUCUCCUCCAUCUUGUAGGCAAAGUAAUUUGUCAAAGGUCCCAUACCUCUCGAGAUGGGCAUGAGUAUGAAAUACCAAUUUUAACUCUUGGAACAUCUCAUAUGCUCUGUGGCGUUCAAAACGUUUUUGAAGUCCCGGUUCUAAGCCGUAAAGCAUGGCGCACUACACUAUCAAGUAGUCAUCAUAUCGAUCUUGCCAAACGUUCAUAACGUUUGCAUCUGCUCCUGCAAUAGGUCUGUCACCUAGCGGUGCAUCAAGGACAUAAUUCUUCUAUGCAGCAAUGAGGAUAAUCCUCAGAUCACGGACCCAGUCCGCAUCAUUGCAACUAUCAUCUUUCAACUUAGUUUUCUCUAGGAACAUACCAAAAAAACGGGGAGCUACUACACAAGCUAUUGAUCAACAACAUAAUUUGCAAAUACUAUCAGGACUAAGUUCGUGAUAAGUUAAGUUCAAUUAAUCAAAUUAGUGAACUCCCACUUAGAUAGACAUCCCUCUAGUCAUCUUAAUGAAACGUGAUCCAAAUCAACUAAACAUCACGUGAGAUGGAGUAGUCAUCAAUGGUGAACAUCUUAUGUUGAUCAUAUCUACUAUAUGAUUCACGUUCGACCUUCCGGUCUCCAGUGUUCCGAGGCCAUGUCUGUACAUGCUAGGCUCGUCAAGUUUAACCCAAAUAUUCCGCGUGUGCAAAACUGUCUUACACCCGUUGUAUGUGAACGUAGAGUCUAUCACACCUGAUCAUUACGUGGUGUCUCGAAACGACAAACUUUCGCAAUGUUGCAUACUCGGGGAGAACACUUAUACCUUGAAAUUUAGUGAAGGAUCAUCUGAUAAUGCUACCGUCGAUCUAAGCAAAAUAAGAUGCAUAAAAGAUAAACAUCACAUGCAAUCAAAAAUAUGUGACAUGAUAUAGACAUCAUCAUCUUGUGCUUUUGAUCUCCAUCUCCAAAGCAUCGUCAUGAUCUCCAUCUCCAAAGCAUCGUCAUGAUCUCCAUUGGCACCGUCUCGACACCUUGAUCUCCAUCAUUGCGUCAUGGUCGUCUCGCCAACUAUUGCUUCUACGACUAUCGCUAACACAUAGUGAUAAAGUAAAGCAAUUACACGGCGUUUGCAAUUCAUACAAUAAAGAGGCAACCAUAAGGCUCCUGCGAGUCGCCGCUAACUUACAAAACAUGAUCAUCUCAUACAACAAUCGUAUAUCACAUCAUGUCUUGACCAUAUCACAUCACAACAUGCCCUGCAAAAACAAGUUAGACUUCCUCUACUUUGCUGUUGCAAGUUUUACAUGGCUGCUACGGGCUUCUAGUAAGAACCGUUCUUACCUAUGCACAAAACCACAACGGUGAUUUAUCAAGUUUGCUGUUUUAACCUUCGACAAGGACCGGCCGCAGUCAAAUUCGAUUCAACUAAAGUAGGAGAAACAGACACCCGCCAGCCACCUUUAUGCAAAACUAGUUGCAUGUCUGUCGGUGGAACCGGUCUCAUGAACCUGGUCAUGUAAGGUUGGUCCGGGCCGCUUCAUCCAACAAUAUCGCCGAAUCAAAAUAAGACGUUGGUGGUAAGCAGUACGACGAUCACCGCCCACAACUCUUUCUGUUCUACUCGUGCAUAUCAUCUACGCAUAGACCUGGCUCAUGAUCGUAGGGAACGUAGCAUGCAAUUUCAAAAAAAUUCUUACGAUCACGCAAGAUCUAUCUAGGAGAUGCAUAGCAACGAGAGGGGGAGACUGUGUCUACGUACCCUCGUAGACCGAAAGCGGAAGCAUUUGUUAACGCGGUUGAUGUAGUCGAACUUUUUCUUGUUCCGACUGAUCAAGCACCGAAUGUACGGCACCUCCGAGUUCUGCUCACGUUCAGCUCGAUGACGUCCCUCGAACUCUUGAUCCAGCAAAGUGUCGAGGGAGAGUUCCAUCAUCACGACGGCAUGGUGAUGGUGAUGGUGAAGUGAUCCGCGCAGGGCUUCGCCUAGCAUUACGAGAAUAUGACUGGAGGCGUAAACUGUGGAGGGGGGCGCCGCACACGGCUAGGAAUUAAUGUUGUGUGUUCUAGCGGUGCCCCCCACAUAUAUAUAUAGGUGGGAGAGGGAGAGGGGCAGCAAAGGGCGCCCCAAGUAGGAGUAAUCCUAAUUGGGCGCCUCCCACAAGUCGGCCUCCCCCCCGUUCCAUAAGUGUCGGAGGGGGAAAGAAAGAGAGAGGGGGAGAGAAGGAAAGGGGGAGGUUGAAUCCUCGCGAGCUCCUGUUCGGCGCCUUAAGCGCCCGAACAGGUAGCUCGCGCUCGCGCGCCCCACCACAUGGGCCAACCCAGGAGACCUUCAGAAAAGAAAAAGCAAAAACCGCUAGGAAAAAGUUCACGUGUAAAUCGAGAAUAGUGGAAUUCGAACUUUGAACGCCAAGGUAAAUGCACAGCAGCGUUAACCAUUAGCACAUGCUCCUUUUGUUGAUUACUAAUGGAAACAGAUCUUAUUUAUGCAUUCAUUAAGCACAAAAAUUAAACAUAUACUAGUAUUAUAUACUCACUAUAAUUAUAUUUGAAUAAAGAAAACAUAAAUUUGAAAAUGCAUUUGCAAAAUGCACCAAUUGAAAGAAAUAAACACCUCUCAAAAAGGUUUGCACGAAAUUGAAAAAAAAAUCACAAAAAUGAAAAAAUUCAUGAAUUUUAAAAAGAGUUCAUCGAAUUUGAAAAAAGUUCAUCAAUUUAAAAAAACAAAAUUUCAAAACAAUUCAUCAAAUUUAAAAAAGUACGUCGAAUUUGAAAAAAAGUUCAUCAUAUCUGAAAUAAGUUCAUAGAUUUUGAAAAAAAAAUUCAUCGAUUUUGGAAAAAAAAGUUCAUCAAUUUUGAAAAUAGUUCAUCAAUAAUGCAAAAAAAGCAUAUCAAUUUUUGGAAAAAGUUCAUCAAUUUUUUGAAUUUGAAAAGUAGUUCAUCGAUUUUGAAAAAAAGGUUCACCGACAUUGAGAAAAGUUCAUUGAAUUUGAAAACACGUUCAGCAAUUUCGAAAAAAUGUUCAUCGAUUUUGGAAAAAAUUCAAUGAUUUUGUAAAAAUGUUCAUCGAUUUAGAAAAAAGGUUCAUCGAUCUUCAAGAAAUGUUCAUUUAUUUUGAAAAAACACGAAUUUGAAUAAAAAGUUCACGCAUGUGGAAAAAAAAUAAUGAGAAAAAAAGCUGAACAAAACAGUAACCAGAAAAAAGAAAAAAAAAGGAAAAAAAUAAGAAUAAAGUUCCGCGAACUCUAGAGGAGAAAUAGGGAAAACGAUGUGAAGCCGCACAAUAAAUCGUGAUGGCCUAUUGGUGUGGACGUGCUCAUGUGAAUAAAAAGGUCUCUUGUUCGAAUCUCUGCAAUCGCACCUUUUUUUUGAAUUUUAACAGGAAAGAAAGAAAUAGUUAAACGGGCCGGCCCAGUCGCGGAGGGGGUGUUUGCUGUAGGCGCCCAUUAGCAAAAAUGGCCUGGCCUGCAGCGCUAAAUAGGGAAUGCUUGAAUCCUCUCCUUUCCUUUCUCCCUUCCCCUAUUUCCUUCUCCUAUUCGGCCUAUAUGGGGUGCACCAGCCCACUAGGGGCUGGUCUGUCCUGCCCUUGGCCCAAUAAGGCCCAUAUCUUUGCUAGGGGGGGUGCCCGGAACCCCUUCCGGUGACCCGAUACGUACCCGGUACCCCCGGAACACUUCCGGUGUCUGAAUACUAUCGUCCUAUAUAUGAAUCUUUACCUCUCGACCAUUUUGAGACUCCUCGCCAUGUCCGUGAUCUCAUCCGGGAAUCCGAACAACAUUCGGUCACCAAAUCACAUAACUCAUAUAAUACAAAAUCGUCAUCGAACGUUAAGCGUGCGGACCCUACGGGUUCGAGAACUAUGUAGACAUGACCAAGACACCUCUCCGGUCAAUAACCAAUAGCGGAACCUGGAUGCUCAUAUUGGCUCCCACAUAUUCUACGAAAAUCUUUAUCGGUCAAACCGUAAUGACAACAUACGUUGUUCCCUUUGUCAUCGGUAUGUUACUUGCCCAAGAUUCGAUCGUCGGUAUCUUCAUACCUAGUUCAAUCUCGUUACCGGCAAGUCGCUUUACUCGUUUCGUAAUGCAACAUCCCGCAACUAACUCAUUAGUCACUUUGCUUGCAAGGCUUCUUGUGAUGUGCAUUACCGAGAGGGCCCAGAGAUACCUUCUCCGAUACUCGAAGUGACAAAUCCUAAUCUCGAUCUAUGCCAACCCAACAGACACCUUCGGAGAUACCUGUAGAGAAUCUUUAUAAUCACCCAGUUACGUUGUGACGUUUGAUAGCACACAAGGCAUUCCUACGGUAUCCAGGAGUUGCAUAAUCUCAUAGUCAGAGGAACAUGUAUUUGACAUGAAGAAAACAGUAGCAAUAAAACUGAAUGAUCAAUAUGCUAAGCUAACGAAUGGGUCAUAUCCAUCAUAUCAUUCUCCUGAUGAUGUGAUCCCAUUCAUCAAAUGACAACACAUGUCUAUGGCUAGGAAACUUAACCAUUUCUAUUAACGAGCUAGUCUAGUAGAGGCUUACUAGAGACACAUUGUUUUGUCUAUGUAUCCACACAUGUAUCAAGUUUCCGGUUAAUACAAUUCUAGCAUGAAUAAUAAACAUUUAUCAUGAAUAAGGAAAUAUAAAAUAACAACUUUAUUAUUGCCUCUAGGGCAUAUUUUCUUCAGUCUCCCACUUGCACUAGAGUCAAUAAUCUAGGUCACAUCGCCAUGUGAUUUAACACCAACAGAUCACAUAUUCAUGUGAUUAACACCUAUAGUUCACAUCGGCAUGUGAUCGACACCCAAAGGGUUUACUAGAGUCAAUAAUCUAGUUCACAUCGCCAUGUGAUUAACACCCAAAGAGUACUAAGGUGUGAUCAUGUUUUGCUUGUGAGAGAAGUUUAGUCAACGGGUCUGUCAUAUUCAGAUUCGUAUGUAUUUUGCAAAUUUCUAUGUCUACAAUGCUCUGCAUGGAGCUACUCUUAGCUAAUUGCUCCCACUUUCAAUAUGUAUCUAGAUUGAGAUUUAGAGUCAUCUAGAUCAGUGUCAAAGCUUGCAUCGACGUAACUCUUUACGACGAAUUCUUUAUCACCUCCAUAACCGAGAAACAUUUCCUUAGUCCUAUUUAGGUACCUAAGGAUAAUUUUGACCGAUGUCCAGUGAUCUACUCCUAGAUCACUAUUGUACCCCCUUGCCAAACUCAUGGCAAGGUAUACAAUAGGUCUGGCACACAGCAUGGCAUACUUUAUAAAACCUAUGGGUGAGGCAUAGGGAAUGACUUUCAUUCUCUCUCUAUCUUCUGCCGUGGUCGGGUCUUGAGUCUUACUCAACUUCACACCUUGCAGCACAGACAAGAACCCUUUCUUUGACUAAUCCAUUUUGAACUUCUUCAAAAUCUUGUCAAUGUAUGUGCUUUGUGAAAGUCCUAUUAAGUGUCUCGAUCUAUCCCUAUAGAUCUUGAUGCCCAAUAUAUAAGUAGCUUCACCGAGGUCUUUCAUUGAAAAAUUCUUAUUCAAGUAUCCUUUUAUGCUAUCCAGAAAUUCUAUAUCAUUUCCGACCAACAAUAUGUCAUCCACAUAUAAUAUCAGAAAUGCUACAGAGCUCCCACUCACUUUCUUGUAAAUACAUGCUUCACCGUAAGUCUGUAUAAAACCAUAUGCUUUGAUCAUCUCAUCAAAGCGUACAUUCCUACUCCGAGAUGCUUGCACCAAUCCAUAGAUGGAUUGCUGGAGCUUGCACACUUUAUUAGCACCUAUAGGAUCACAAAACCUUGGUUGCAUCAUAUACAACUCUUCUUUGAGAAAUCCAUUAAGGAAUGCAGUUUUGACAUCCAUUUGCCAGAUUUCAUAAAAUGCGGCAAUUGCUAACAUGAUUUGGACAGACUUAAGCAUCGCUACGAGUGAGAAAAUCUCAUUGUAGUCAACACCUUGAACUUGUCGAAAACCUUUUGUGACAAGUCAAGCUUUGUAGAUUGAUUUUUCUUGCAAUGCGAAGAGUUGCUUUGUGAUGGGUUCGAUCUUGCAGUGCUCAAUCUCAGUGACAGAAAGAGACAUGACAUGCAUGUAUCAUUGCCAUUAAGGAUAAAAAAGAUGGGGUCUAUUCCUACAUGAAUAGAUCUUUUCUACAUCAUUUCAUCAUUCUUAUUGCAUCACUCCAUUUUUCCAUGAACUUAAUACACUAGAUACAUGUUGGAUAGCGGUUGAUGUGUGGAGUAAUAGUAGUAGAUGCGGGCUGGAGUCGGUCUACUAAUCUUGGACGUGGUGCCUAUAUACAUGAUCAUUGCCUUGGAUAUCGUCAUAAUUAUUUGCUCUUCUAACAAUUGCCCAAGCCCAACAGUAAUUUGUUUACCCACCGUAUGCUAUUUUUUGAGAGAAGCCUCUAGUGAAAUCUACGCCCCCCGGGUCUAUUUCCUGUCAUAUUAUUUUCAGAUCUAUUAAUUCAAAAAAUACCUUGUUGCACUUUUUAUUUAUUUAUUUUAUUUUGUGUUUUUAGAUCUAUUUAUCCAAUCUCAUACAAUUUAAUCUACAUCAAUACCAAGGAGGGAUUGAUAACCCCUCUUAGGCGUUGGGUUGCAAGUUUUUGUUAUUUGUGUGAAGGUACUGCUUACAUAGUUUGGUGGAUCCUCCUACUAGAUUGAUACCUUGAUUUCACAACUGAGGAAAAUACUUACCAUUGUUGUGCUGCAUCAUCCUCUCCUCUCCAGGAAAAUACCAACACAGUUAGCAACAAUCAACACCUUCGGCGGAAGUGAUUCAUGAGAAACGUGACUGUAACACUAAAUCAUAUAUUCGUAUGUGCUUGCGAAAGCUGCUACACUGGAUCACAUUUAAUAUGUGCUUGUAAACGUGCUUUUGAAAGUCAUGAACAAUCUUCAAACUCACGUUUUUUUGAAAUUUAGGAUUUCUUUUUGAAUUCGUGAACAAUUUUUGGAUUUCAUAAACAUUUUUUGAACUCACGAUCAUUUUUCAAAAUUAGUGAACAUUUUUUGAAUUAGUGAAGAACGAAAUUUUUUAAAACUUGUGAUUUUUUCAAAUUGGUGACCCUUUUUUGAAUCCGCAAAAUAAACUAAUUGUGAAUGGAUUUUGAAAUUAUUGAGAAUGUGUGAACAUCGAUUUGAAUUCAUAAAAUUUUUUUCACUUCCAUGAUUUUUUGAAUUUGCAAAGUUUUUCCAAAUUCAUGAACAUUUUUCCAAGAUUCACAAACAUAAUUUUAAUUUCUUUCAAAAAUUAAAAGGAAAAGAAAAAGGAAAUAGGUAAUUUUACAGUAGUAUAUUUUUGUUAUGGGGAGGUAGCAAUCUGGACUUGCACCGAAUCGACGAGGAACUUCUGGAGUGUGAGAGUGAGCCCGAGUCACUAGAGUGGUAAAUAAAUUACAGCAACGUAUUUUUGGACUUUUAUAUAUGAUUAAAAUAGACCCGGGGCCAUAGUUUUCACUAGAGGUUUCUCUCUUGAAAAUAGCAUAUGGUGGGUAAAGAAAUUAUUGAUGGGAAAUUGAUAGAAAAGUGGAUAAUCAUGACGAUAUCCAAGGGAAUAAUCAUGUAUAUAGGCAUCAUGUCCGUGACAAGUAGACCGACUCCUGCCUGCAUCUACUACUAUUACUCCACACAUCGACCGUUAUCCAGCAUGCCUCUAUAGUAUUAAGUUCAUAAAGAACAAAGUAACGCCUUAAGCAACAUGGCAUGAUGUAGACAAAGUAAACUCAAUCAAUAUGAAUAAAACUCCGUCGUUUUAUCCUUAAUGACAACAAUACAAAUAUGUGUCUUGUCCCCUUCUGUCACUCGGAUAUAGAUCACCGCAAGAUUGAACCCAUUACAAAGCACCUCUACCAUCACAAGAAAAAUCAAUCUAGUUGGCCAAACCAAAUCAAUAGAUCGGAGAGAAAUACAAAGCUAUAAUAAUCAUGCAUAAAAGAGUUUAGAUAAGACUCAAAUAAUAUUCAUGGAUAAUCUAAUCAUAAACCACAAUUCAUCGGAUUCCAACAAACACACCGCAAAAAAGUAUUACAUCGAAUAAAUCUCCAAGAACAUCAAGGAGAACAUUGUAUUGAAGGUUGAGAGAGAAGAAGCCAUCUAGCUACUAGUUAUGGACCUGUAGGUCUGUGGAAACUACUCACACAUCAUCGGAAGGGAACCAAGGUUGAUGUAGAGCUCCUCCGUGAUCGAUCCCCCCUCCGGCAAAGUGCCGGAAAAGGCCUCCAGAUGGGAUCUCACGAGAAUAGAAACUUGCGGCAGUGGAAAAAGCAUUUUGGGUGGCUCUCUGAUGUACGGAGAAUAUUUGAGAAUUUAUAGAGGCGGAAUUAAGUCAAGAGGUGCCACGAGGGGCCCGCAAGCCUAGGGGCGCCCCCCGGGCGCGCCUCCCGAGCUUGUCGCUCCCUCGUGGCUCGUCAUGUCUUCUCCUGAACCUUCUAGUGUCCCCUCUGGUCCACAAAAUAAAAUCCAAGCUUUUUCUCCAUUUGGACUCUGUUUGAUAUUGAUUUCCUGAAAAAGCCAAAAACAAGCAAAAACAGCAACUGGCACUAGGUUAAUAGGUUAGUCCCAAAAAAUGAUAUAUAAUUGCAUAAUAAACAUCCAAGAUUGAUACUAUAAUAGCAUGGAACAAUAAAAAAUUAUAGAUAUGUUGGAGACGUAUCAGGGGACAACAAGCGUGGAGGAGACAGAGAAAAGCAAUGUCCAGGCUACUACCAAGUCUAUAGCGUAAGUUCUACUCCCUUCGUCCCAUACUAUAAGAGCAUUUACACUAGUGAAAAAACGCUCUUAUAUUAUGUGACGGAGGGAGUAUCUCUCCCCCUUCUUGUUAGUUGUUCUUGUUGUUUGAGGAGAGAUGAUGUUCUUCCUGUAUGGCUAAGCCAUCCAUUUCUUGGAGAUUAUGACACAUGCAGUUUUGGUCCGAUGUGUAUAGUACAUUUCACGCAUGUUGAUUAUUCAAUUGGAUUUUGUUCCCUCACAUCAAUCAUUUACUGUGCUUCAUCCAUAUUACCUUUACCAGAGAUUGCACGGACGCAUGCUCUGUCCAUUGUAUCAUGCCAUGCUCUACUCUCACAUGCUUUUUUCAUAAUGUUUACAAACUAGAAAUCAUUUUAUCUUACAAACCAAAAUUCCAAUUGAAGAUCCAUUUGCAUAUGUGUGCUUCUAGUGAUGAGGGCUUUCAAACAAGACCAUUCUCGAAUAUAUUUUGACAAGUUUUAGAAAUCAAAUUUCAAAACAUGGUGAAACUCUAUUAAACAUGGUCUCGUUUAGAAAUUCACCAAAACAUAUUCCUGUCUAAUCUUGUUUAAAAUGUCUUGUUGACAAGUCGUACUGGAGCUUUAGGAUCUUCCUUGGGUGGUGCUUUGUCCCGAGCCUUGGUGUAGUUGUACCUGACUUCUUCCUGGGCAUGCAAUUUGCAAGGAAGCAGCUGCAAGAAUAGUUGGUAGAGACGUUCUUCGCCUUGGUGUACAAUGAGAUGACAAAGGAGAAGCCCAAAGAGUAUCCGACAUUGGUCGUGGUCAGGUUGUGGCUGAAGCUGGUUUCAGAUGGUUACUCAAGAAAUUGAUCUUUCAGACGCGCCCAAAACCUGACUAAGUUCUCAUUGUUUAUUUCAUAUCCAUUUCCCAUCGUUGAAUCCCAUGUUGAACUAUUUGGCAUGAUUAAUCUACAUCCUCAACAACUAUUUGGCAUGGCUAAUUAAGUUUCAUCCUCAACAACCGGUUUUAGAUGGUUACUCAAGAAAUUCAGUUUAACAAAACAUAUAUGGCAUGACCUAGCAUUUCUUUAUUGAUUUAUGUUGAACUAUUUUACUUUUAUAAAACUUAUUUUAUGAAAGUGUGAUCACAACUAUUAUUUAUCACUUAGAUUCUACGCAUUCUAGUGAACAUUAACAUGAUUUUGCGUUAUACAAUUAGAACUUCUUCCAUUGAUAAUACACGUCAGCUCAACAUAACCAUAUUAUUGCAUAGGAAAUGAGUUUCUUACUUUUUCCCAUCAAUAACAUUUUGUUAAACUGAAUUUCACUAUAUUGGGGAAAAAUUAAAAAAACAUCCAUUGAUUAUUUUUUGCCACAUAGAUGGAUUUUAGGUAUAUAUGUAUAUGAUAGUAUGUAUGUUUUUGUAUCUUGAAAUAUCUUUGGAGAUAGGUCUACGUAAGCUCAAGCAAAUAUCAGGGCAAGUUGCAUUUUUAUAUAUCUUAUGUGUGAAUAUAACUUUCUAGGUAUAGUAAGGUGUCUACAAGGGGUUUAUACUUGGUAUUGAAUAGCAUUGGUCAACUCAAUAGGUAUCUCAUGGGUGCUUGGUAAAACAACACCUUACUUAUAUGUAUGCAUGAUUGUUUUGUAUAUAUUGUGCUUCUUAGUUUGAUUUGUAUUCAAUUUAAACCUAGAUAUAAAAGUGACUGUAUCCAUAUAUUUCAUUCUUAAGAAAGUCACAUCAAAAGAUAGAAUCACAACUUGUAUAUUCUAUUGUCAUACUAUAGGAAGUUUUGAUUCCUUCUGUACACAUCAGUUAGACCCUAUAACUGAAAGGCCCAAGGUGAGCACCCUCGCUGCUCUACUCUAGGGUUUGCUCCUCGGAUUUUCAUAGGGAUGUUGAUACUAUUAGAUACUAGUUGUAAUAAUGUCAUUAUCUAUGCCAAUCUUGAUCCUCAUAUUAUGCCUUUUUUUAUGUCAAAAGGGAAAUAAAAGUGGGUCAUGAUAUAGCAGUUGGUAUAACAAAAAUAAGACCUCUCAUAGCGGGUAGUAUCAUAAUUUAGUAUCAUGUAUAUGAUAUUGCCUCUAUAGUCACAAUACGCUUUCCGUCCAGGUUUAAAAGGUCAUCUGGUCAAAAUGCGGAGGCUAAGGCGAGAUUAAUUCCACGUACCCCAGAUUAUCAAACUUGGAAAGCCACCCUCCUCUCGUGGGGUGAGAGACUCGCUCGUGUUCGCCAUGUGCCACGGCCAUGCCAGUGCACAUUCUACUCGCCAUGACCAUAAACCCUUCAAUCCUGAAGAAGAUCACCACUGUGGUGCGUGACUUUUUGUGGCAUGGUCAUAAGGACGCCAAGGCCUGUUGCUGCCUCGUUAGUUGGUCGAAUAUCUCUAGACCACUGGAGCUUGGAGACAUGGCUGUGGUCGAUCUUCACCGCACGAGCAUCACGCUUAGGGAUCGCUGGCUUUGGCUACAGGCUGCGGACCCCAAUCGCCCAUGGAAUCAUAUACAACUCCCCAGAGACGAGGAGACCAACCAGUUCUUUCGCACUUCCAUGACCCGGACCUUGGGGGAUGGCCAUACUUGCCGGUUCUGGCCUGACCAUUGGCUCUAGGGACUGUCCGUUGCCGAGAUCGCGCCUACACAUCUACCCCACAGUCCACGCAGGCGGAGGCGCUGCAGAUCGGUGUGCGAUGGGAUCACUGACGGAUCCUGGAUCCGCGAUAUGCAUCCUUCCCUGGGACCAGCCGCCACGAUCAAAUACUUUGGUCUAUGGUCGCGUAUUCAACAGAUCGAGCUUUCUGACGUGCCCGACAAGAUCUCUUGGAACUUGACCCAGAACGGGCAAUACACGACUGGCUCCACCACCGCGCCCAAUUGGCGGCCCAUAUGGAAGUGUUGGUCACCGAUGAACGUCAAGUUUUUUCUCUUGUUAGCCUCCCUGGACCGCUGCUGGACUGCGGAAUGAAGAGCGCGCCAUGGUUAAUUCACGACCCUCUAUGCAAGUUGUGCAGCCAGGAGCUUGAGACCAUUGAUCACCUGUUUGUCCAGUGCGUCUUGUCGAAGAUCACCUGACAUGAGAUAUUAUCCUGGUGUCGCCUCCCGGUGCUUUUGCCAAGCGCCGACGCGACCUUCUUCCCGUGGUGGUCUGGCUCGCUUGCCGCUUCUCCGGCAAGUUUGGGGAAGGGCCUCAACUCUCUUAUAGCCCUAACCGCAUGGAGUAUCUGGAAGCAUCGAAACACCGCUCUCUUCAACGACCUUCGGCGAUCUACCGGCGAGCUCGUCCGCACAAUCAAGGAGGAGGCUCGGCUUUGGGCAAAAGCUAGAGCUCAAGGACUAGCACUAGUUAUUCCUGUAGUCUAGAAUGAUUGUAUCGAGGCUAAGCAACCUCCAACAUGCUCAUGCUACGUUUUCAAGCGUUCAAGAAUAAGCAUGGGAGUCGAAUAGAGAUGGCACUUGGAAACUACCGUUGGUAUUUCAUAUUUCGCAUUGUAUAGAAUGAAAUCAUCGAUAGGGCUCGCCCCGAAAAGAGGAUGUUGCGAACACCGGUUCGUGCACACCCCCUCGAGAUGAACCUUGUACGUUCUCUUCACCUAUCAAUGAAACGAUAUACAACAAUGCGUAUUUACGAAAAAGUACCUUUUUUUGAAUCUGCAAAUAAAAACUAAUUCGUGAAUGGAUUUUGAAAUUCUUGAACAUUUUUUAAACAUGUGAACAUCGAUUUGAAUUCACAAACUUUUUGUCAUAUCCAUGAUUUUUUUUUGAAUUUGAAAACUUUUUCCAAAUUCAUGAACAUUCUUCCAAGAUUGACGAACAUAUUUUGAAUUUAUUUAAAAAAUUAAAACGAAAAGAAAAAAGGUAAUUCCUUUUCUUUUUACAGUAGUACUAUUUUUUUUUAGAACAUAUAUUUUUGUUAUGGGGAGCCAGCAAUCUGGACAUGCACCGAAGCGACGGGAAGCCCGAGCCCGAGUCAGAUAGGCGGUCGGCCCACUUGGCGGCUGGGUGGGUUAAAAGGGGUAGGAUCCGGCACCAUCGCUGCCGUGUUGGAGAUCGAGAGAAGGAAACCCUAGCCGCCGCCGUCCAGAUCUGCUUGGGUUGGUGGAGGUAUGGCUACGGCGCUGCGCACCAUGGCCGCGAAGCUGAUGCAGAAGAUCCCCGCCGCUGUCCAGCGGGUUCGCGUCUCUUCUCGUGCUCCGGUUCGUUCCCCAUCUCGAUUUUCUCGCCCCCUUCUGAGUCUUUGAUUGAUACAAUCGAAUCGAUUGAUAAAGACAUGUUGCGUUGCACGAUUAGUCGGAUCCAUCCGUCUCCCUCCCCUCCCCUCCCCUCCGACGGGAGUUUGUUGCAUGUUCUUGGAGUAGUGAUGGAGGCACGAUAGGCCCUGCUGCUUAGGUUGUUGGGUUAAAUAAAUUCUGAUGAUAUUAGCAAUCGGAAUCAUCUUUCUGUUACCAGGAGACACCAGCCAGAUGUUCUUAGCUAUUUUGAUUAAAUUAGCAAUGUAGUUUCAAUUGCUGGAAUUUCUGAAUGUUCUUCUAGAAUCCUGAUGAUUUUGAGAUUUCGGACAGACUGAUGAUAGUUGCUGCCAAACUUUAAGUUUGUGUUAAACCUUGUAUAUUUAGCUUGGUGUUUUGAACUGAAAAUACCAAAUUUUACCAAUGAACACCACUCAUCCAAACAGGAUUCACUACUUGUUUUUGGAAAUCAUCAUGCGCCAUCCAGUCCAGAAUCUCUCUGUUGCCCUAGACAGACGCAAUACAUAUAUAUAUGUGUGUGUGUUUUAGUUGAAAUUAUCCAUGUCAUUUCGCAUUCAGCGGCCCCAGUUUUAACGAUUCAAACUCUACUGCAUGUAGGCACCGGCUUUUGCCGACCUCGACCCCUUCGGCCCAGAGUUUCGGUAAGCCACUAAAAACAUGCAAGAUUGUCGUCUGAUUGAUUCCUUCAUUGCGCAACACGUCCUAACAUUCAUUCUCCUUCCUCUUUGGAAGCCGGGCACUGGAGAAGAUUGUAGAGAAACACAGGAAGAGGCGCAGGAACGAGGCCUUGGCCUGUGGUGCUGGCUUCAGUCUUGGAGCACUCACCUUUUUGCUUGGGGUCCAUCGGCUUCGUUGAAGGGAGAUGGCUCAAUGGUGAAUGACUGGAAUAUCUAUCCUGCACCGCAUGUUCUACUAUCUACUACUGUGCCCGCAAGUUCUACUAUCUACUAGUGCUAUAUCCUGCACCCCAUAUGUUCUGCUAUCUACCAGUACUAUAUCCUGUAUGUUUAACUAGCCGGUGUACUCUAUAAUUCCUGGCUUGUGUCUACCUAUCUAGUAGCCACUGUGGGGAUCUAAUUUCGGUGGUUGCAUGUGGGAUGUAAGAGCACUCUAUCGCCACUCUUAUCUGUUGUUAUCAGAGAUC
This 48924-nucleotide long non-coding RNA is filed under the name Triticum aestivum (bread wheat). Its description in RNAcentral is "long non-coding RNA (TAES_LNC028411)". Lineage: Eukaryota; Viridiplantae; Streptophyta; Magnoliopsida; Poales; Poaceae. The record is from RNAcentral.